ACACCAGAACUGGUUCUCUGGUAAGUUACUGCUAAGGGGUUUUGCAAAUCAGCUGUUCUCCUUGAGCUGUUGAUGAGUCUGAUUUGACUUCAGCAAGGAUGGGAAGCGUGCAGCCCGUCAGUCAGCAAACUUCAAAAUCCACACCUUGCCCGUGUGCGGGACUGCCUCUUUGGGGUGGGAAAGGACGUAAAAGAAAAGCCUGGAGACCCAGGAGGUGAGAUGGUGGUUGCAGAGGGCAGAGGGGGAUGCUGAAUGCGGAUGAGGCCUGCAGGGGGUUGGUUGGAGAGGACGAGUGGGGCUGGGGGGAGGUUCCAGAUGGCCCCCACCAGAAUUGCAGCGGAGAUCUGAUGACCAAGAAUUGAAGCGAGGAGGAGGGGCUCCCUAAAUCUGAUCACUUUGCUCCAAAACCGGUGGCUGGCAUCUGAAACGUGACUCAUUGCCUGAGUCUGGGAAUUGACUUUUGAUUUUUCUGUUCCCAAUGAUUUUUAUAAUAUUUAUUUUAUUUUUGAGAGGCGGGGGACAGAACAGGGCGGGGCAGAGAGAGAGAGAGGGAGGCACAGAAUCCGAAGCAGGCUCCAGGCUCUGAGCUGUCAGCACGGAGCCCGACGCGGGGCUCGAACCCACAAACCGCGAGAUCAUGACCUGAGCCGAAGUCAGAUGCUUAACUGCCUGAGCCACCCAGGCGCUCCUGUUUUUAUUAAUUAAAAAGAAAAAAAUAUCUUUCUGAUGAGAUUCUGAGUGUUCCGACCAGGCUUUGUUUUACUCAGAGAGUAAUACAAAGAAAGCGCCUUCUUUUGCACAGCCCCCCUCCUUCUGGUCCCUCCCUCCCUUCCUUCCUAGUGAAAUUUUUGACCGGAAAGCCUAGCCAGGAUGUGGAGAGUUGUGUUUUCCACCUGAAGCAAGGUGGGGCUGCCCUUCUCUUUGUUGCGACAAACUGCGUCACCCCCACCCUGCCGUUCUCCUCUUUGAGCUGGACAAACACAGCGGCAGUGGCCCCGUUGCCAGUGCAGACCUUUGCAGAAUGAGACAAAGCCCUUGUGUAUUUUGCCGGGAAGCACUUGGCUGUGACGUCCAGGCAUGUGAGCGCACAAAAGCGUUUGCGGUGCCCCUGCACACGGCGCUCACACGCACGCCUUCCGGAGCCUCCUUCGAGGACAGCAGGGCCAGAGUGUGGUAAACGUGUUUAUCUUUCUCAGGUUUGGGCAAAGCCCUUCUAGGAAGUAGAUUUUGAGGCAUUGAGAUCAGAAACCUCCUGGGGAAGUGGUAUGCAAUUGUGUGUUUUCGUGUGGUGCAGCGUGUUUGAGCGAUGGCCGUUUGUCAAGAAAGAGAUCCCAUUUCCAGCCCAACACAGACUUGUCCUUCGGCAGCUGACUUGGUGUUUGUGCUGGCUCCUUACCUACAGACAGCAGGGCCCUGGAGGGAGGAAGGACUCCCCAGCUGAGGGCGAGAGGAUAUGUGAAUUGGUGGGUUAGGAACCCUCCAGCUGAUUCUCCUAAUUUAAAGUGGAAAAGAGGGGGGUCUGGGUGGCUCAGGUCAUGAUCUCAGUUAGUGGGUUCGAGCCCCACGUCGGGCUCCGUGCUGACAGCUCAGAGCCUGGAGCCUGCUUCGGAUUCUGUGUCUCCCUCUCUCUGUGCCCCUCCCCUACUUGUUCUCUCUCUCUCUCUCAAAAAUAAAUAAACAUUAAACAAAAAUUUUAAGUGGAAAAUAGACGAGAUGGAGGUGGUUUGUUAGCCAGCCUGAUUUCCAGUAUCCACUACCGAGCAGUUAAAACUCACUUGGAUUUUAUAAACCAUGAAGGCUCUGCAAAGCUGCUCACCACGCCCUGUGUCGGGCUCUAUGAGGGACUGCACGUAGGUUGGGGAGGAACAGGUUGAAACCUGACUUUGAUCAUUAGCAAAGCCAGCCUUCCACAGCAAACAUGAAUCUCCUGGCCAAUCAGAUUAUCUCAGCCUUCCAGCGCCCGUGUGAACUGGCUUGACAGAGAAGCUGGCUGGGCCAGGGUUCAGGUGGGGCAGCCUAGUGCCUAUAAGGUGUGAUUUGAAGGCCUCAGGAAAGACCCACCCUGGCCUGAAAUGUCUUCCCACUGGCUCAUCAAGGAUGUCUGCAAUUUCACUGUUAGUGAGUCAUUCCUUUGUGUUUACCAUGGACAUUCUCCUUGCUGUCCCUCUGAAAUGCAGGUUGCUCUGGGGUAUAGACCUUACAUUCUUAACCUUCUCACCUUAAAUUCUACUAUUAAUCUCUUGGAUAAACCACCACCUCUGUUCCAUUUUUUCUCUUGCUAGUUUUAUUGAGAUAUAAUUGACAUAUAACCUUGUGUUAGUUUUAGGUGUGCCACGCAAUGACUUGAUAUUUAUAUACAUUGCAAAGUGAUCCCCACAAUCAGCUUAGUUCCACUUUCUAAAUCUUAGGCCUCUCUCGAGUCACCUCACCUACGCUGUUCCCUGUGUCGUUCGGUGUAGACAGGAAGCAGAGCUGGAAGCCAGGUGGCCUGGUGUGGGGACAGAGGGGAGGAGGAAGGCGACUGAGGGCGCUGAGGACCAGCAGGCUCUCACGUAGCUUCCUGGCCCCCUAAGGGCUGCCGGCCGCAGUGCUCUGGUUCCAGAUGGCGCACGAGGGGAAAUGUCCUCUCUGCUUUUGGCCAUGGCCGAGCCCUGUCAGUCCUUCAGGGCUCCUUCCCUCGCUACUCUGGCUUCCUUUCCCUCACUCUCCGCACCCGGGCUAUCCCUCCUUCCAACCACUCUCUCGCAGGCAGCCAUCCUCACUGUAAGGGGCCCCCUGAAGAAGAGGGCCUCUCACUGGUACCCCGAGGCGCUACAAGCUCCUGAGCCAGACCGGAGCGGGGUGGGGGGCACCCUUUCCUCUUUCCGCACUUGGGUCUCAAUCCCUCCACGAGGCUCCAGGCAGGGGCCCCACAGCUGCCAACUACAGACACCCCAAGUUGGGCAGCUGGCUGAAGCGGGCGUGGAGGGUGCUCAGUGAGGGGCCAGCCAGGGGCUGCGGGUCUGCACUAAGGCCUUAAACCAUUCUCGCCUCUUCCUCUUUCCCGGGCCUGGAAGAGAUGACGAGCCUAUCGAUGCCAUGGCCCUGCCACGAGGCACGUCGUAUCAGCCCGUGCCUCUCUCCCAGAGUCACCUCCCUCCCUGCAAAGUGGAUAUGCCAUAAAUUCCACUGGAAUGUAAGCUCCAUCAAGGCAGGUAUUUAAAAAAAAAAAAAAAUUUUUUUUUUUUUUUUACAUUUAUUUAGUUUUGAGAGACACAGAGAGACAGGGCAUGAGCAGGGGAGGGGCAGAGAGAGAAGGAGACACAGAAUCCGAAGCAGGCUCCGGGCUCUGAGCCAUCAGCACAGAGCCCGACGCGGGGCUCGAAGAACAUUUCCAAAGAUUUCAUUUUUUUCCCCCUAUUUUGCCCAUCUCCCCACAAAAAUUUAACUUUUUUCUAUCUUUUUUGUUUGUUUGUUUUGAGAGAGAGCGAGCACAUGCACGCUAGAGUUUAUGAGCAGGGGAGGGGGCAGGGGGAGAGAGAAAAUCCUAAGCAAGCGCCAUACUCAUUGUGGAGCCCGAUGCAGGGCUCGAUCCCAUGAACUGUGAGAUCGUGACCUGAGCCAGAACCAGGAGGCGGACGCUCAACUGAGCCACCCAGGUGCCCCUCACAUUUUAAUAGUUACUCAAAAUUGCCCUCCCAAAAGGCUGUAGCCACAUACAUUCCCACUCCAUACCCUUACUGGUUUUUAAUUUAAUUUAUUUAUUUGAGAGAGAGAGAGAGAAGAGGUAGAGAGCAAGCAGGGGAGGGCAGAGAGAGAGGGAGACAGAAUCCCAAGCAGGCUCCAUGCUGUCAGCACAGAGCCUAAUACAGAGCUUGAACUCGCAAACUGUGAGAUUAUGACCUGAGCUGAAACCAAGAGUCAGACGCUUAACCGACUGAGCCACCCAGGUGCCGCAAUACCCUUAUUGGUUUUCAGAGAUCUCUUAUUUUUUCCCAAUCUGUUGGCCAAAAGCCGUUAUCUCAUUGUUAGAAUAAAAACGUUCGGUUCAAUCCUCUUGGCCGGAAAUUGUGAGUGAUUCACAUUAGUAACAUAACCACAUGUAUAGUAAUAAUGCUAUUUAACUGCUAUGUAUUCUGUUACUUAGUAACUAUUUUACAUGGAGUGAGUAAUAAUCAGGAAUAGGUACAGAUCAGUUUUCUCCCCAUAUUCCACUAUGACCUUUAUUUCUAUUUUUAAAAAAAUUUUUGGGGCACCUUGAUGGCUCAGUAGGUUAAGCGGCUGACUUCGGCUCAAGUCAUGACCUUGCGGUCCGUGAGUUCAGGUCCCGUGUCGGGCUCUGUGCUGACAGGUUGGAGCCUGGAGCCUGCUUCUGAUUCUGUGUCUCUCUCUCUCUCUGCCCCUCCCCUGCUGCUCACUUCUCUCUCUCUCUCUCUCAAAAAUAAAUAAACAUAAAAAAAUUUAUUAAGAAAAUUAAAAAAUAUACUUAUUUAUUUGGAAAGAGAGUGCAAGCGUGAGUGGGGGAGGGGUAGGGAGAGAGGGAGAGAGAAUCCCAAGCAAGCUUUGUGCGGUCAGCGCAGAGCCUGAGAUGGGGCUCAAUCCUAUGGACUGCGAGGUCACGAUGAACCAAAAUCAAAAGUCAGACGCUUAACCAACUGAGCCGUUCAGGCACCCACCCUGCCCCAUGACUUUUAGAUGUAAAACACAAGAAUCUGGGGUCUUGGAGGGUGCAGACCUCCACUUCUCCCUGCUUAAUCUGUCUUCAAAGCGGCUCCAGUGAGUUCUUUGGUGCCACAGCCUUGCCUUCCUUCAUGUCCCUUCCUGCCGCACAGCGGCUGUGUCCCGGAAUGGCAUGUCAAAUAGUCCAGUCUCAAGCAGCAGUACGUUCUCUGCCUCUGGGUUUCUCCUUUAAUCAGUUCAGAACACGUCAGCUGGUUUUGUCCUUUGCUUGACUUUGAGGUUAUCAUCAGGGCCAUCUUCGGGUACAUCAGAAGCUAUGUCAUGGGCUGUAUCCCACCUUAAUCUUGUCCAAGCUCACACAUCACCUCGGACAAUGUUUUCCACAGAGGAGUGCAUUUUUCUUAAUGUUUAUUUAUUUUUGAGAGAGAGAGAGGGCGAGCGAGCAGGGGAGGGGCAGAGAGAGAGGGAGAGAGAGAAUCCAAAGCAGGCUCCAGGCUCUGAGCUGUCAGCACAGAGCCUGAUGCGGGGCUCGAACCCACGAAUCGUGAGAAGUGCAUCUUAAAAGGAGGAAAAGCUGUGAGAGCAUUUGGGAUUUUACACUAUUUAAAUUUCGUGUCUAUUUCCCUCCCUUACUCCCACCUUGACUCCGUGUGUUCUUUGCUCUAUUCUUCUCAACCUCUGUAUCCAGGAUAAUAUAAAAAUGGCAGCUAUAAAUGAUUCCUCCCCCCUGUAAGUUUUCUCUAGGCCUGGUUCUUUGUUACUGACAACAUCUAGCUUGGAAUCAUUUAGUGACUCUGGGGCGCCUGGGUGGCUCAGUCGGUCAAGCGUCUGACUUUGGCUCAGGUCAUGAUCUCAUGGUUUGUGGGUUUGAGCCCUGCGACGGCUUCUGUGCUGACAGCUUGGAGCCUGGAGCAUGGUUCGGAUUCUGUGUUUCCCUGUCACUCUGCUCCUCCCCAACUCACUCUCUUUCUCUCUCUCUCUCAAAAAUAAACAUUAAAAAAAAAAAAAGAAUCAUUUACUGACUUUUCUAUUACUCUUCAACCAAGUUGGAACCAGCCUCCAAUAAGGCUGGAUUGAAUAAUGACUUCCUCCUUUGGUUUAUUAGGAUUUUAAGGGUUGUGACUUGUUUUGAUGGUUUCAGAUUAAUUUUGCAAGUUUGUGUCAGAAAGCCAUUUACUUGAAAAUUUGAUCCAUUUUCUAAAGUGCAUUGGAACGGAAUUCCUUUUCUGCCCUUUCAUCCAGUCCAGCUACUACAGGAUCUUUAUUUUGCUGGUUUUAGUAAUAUUACUUUGUUCUUUCUUUUUAAAAAAAAAAUAUUUAUUCAUUUUUGAGAGACAAAAACAGAAUCCAAAGCAGACUCCGGGCUCUGAGCUGUCAGCACAGAGCCCAACGUGGGGCUUGAACUCACAGACCAUGAGAUCAUGACCUGAGCCAAAGGCGGCCACUUAACCCACCGAGCCACCCAAGUACCCCUUACUCUGUUAUUUCUAAAGCGCACAAGUUUUGGCCACAAGGUACGCCAACAGGACGCUGCUAGGUGAUCUAUAUAUUUAGCUAAGAACCAUACUUUCUUCAGGGAUCACUCCUUAUUUUGGAUAUUCUAAUAACUCUGGCUUGGACAUUUUCCCCCUACCUCUGCCACUUCCGAACUGUGUGAUCUUGGGCAAGUUACUCACACUCUCUGAGCCUGUUUUCUCUUGAGUAAAACGAAGUAAGAGUAGCUGCUGUCUCCACAGUGGCCACAAGGGGUUAACACACAAUUUAAAUUGUGGUUGGCAUGUGGUAAGGGCUGAUGUGUUUGCCAUUACUAUGCAGUCCUUUCUGAAAGAAAAAACAUUCCUUUCUUCUGUGGUUAUUUGGACUGCUUCUGAGUCUCAUUUUAUAAUUGAAAACUGAACAAAUUAAAAUAGAAGAAAGAAUCGCUCCAUGCUCAGUUACUCAACCAAACCCUAUAUGGAAAAGGCAAGAUUGUUUCUCUAAAAUAAUUCACACCUGAUUAAUCUAUUAGAAUUUUUGAAAAUUUGUGGACGAAGAAGAAUCGGUGCAAUCGGAUUAAUCUAUGUGUAGGUUUUAGGAGCCUUGGAAGUUUUCAUGCCACUGGUGUUAUCAUUCAGCAGAAAGAAUAUUUCUUCCUUCCUUCCUUCCUUCCUUCCUUCCUUCCUCCCUCCCUCCCUCCCUCCCUUCUUCCCUCCCUCCCUCCCUNNNNNNNNNNNNNNNNNNNNNNNNNNNNNNNNNNNNNNNNNNNNNNNNNNNNNNNNNNNNNNNNNNNNNNNNNNNNNNNNNNNNNNNNNNNNNNNNNNNNNNNNNNNNNNNNNNNNNNNNNNNNNNNNNNNNNNNNNNNNNNNNNNNNNNNNNNNNNNNNNNNNNNNNNNNNNNNNNNNNNNNNNNNNNNNNNNNNNNNNNNNNNNNNNNNNNNNNNNNNNNNNNNNNNNNNNNNNNNNNNNNNNNNNNNNNNNNNNNNNNNNNNNNNNNNNNNNNNNNNNNNCCUUCCUUCUUUUCUUCCUUCCUGCCUCCCUUCCUUCCUUCCUCCCUUCCUUCCUCCCUCCCUCAUUCCUUCCUUCAUUCCUUCCUUCUUUUCUUCCUCCCUUCCCUCCUCCCUCCCUCCCUUUCUCCCUCCCUCCCUUUCUUCCUUCCUUUCUUCCUUCCUCCCUCCCUUCCUUUUCUUCCUUCCUUCCUGCCUCCCUUCCUUCCUUCCUCCCUUCCUUCCUUCCUCCCUCAUUCCUUCCUUCAUUCCUUCCUUCUUUUCUUCCUCCCUUCAUUCCUUCCUCCCUCUCUCCCUUUCUCCCUCCCUCCCUCCCUUUCUUCCUUCCUCCCUCCCUUCCUUCCUUCUUUUCUUCCUCCCUCCCUUCCUCCCUCCCUUCCUUCCUUCCUUCCUUCCUUCCUUCCUAUUGAAUGAUUACAACCUUCCUUCAUCUCUUCCUCCUUCCCCCCCUCCCUCCCUCCCUUCCUUCCUUCUUUUCUUCCUUCCUUCCUUCCUUCCUUCCUUCCUCCCUCCCUCCCUCCCUCCCUCCCUCCCUUCUUCCCUCCCUUCCUCCCUAUUAAAUGAUUACAACCUUCCUUCCUUCCUCCCUUACUCCCUCCCUCCCUCCCUUCCUUCCUAUUGAAUGAUUACAACCUUCCUUCCUCUCUUCCUCCCUUCCUUCCUUCCUUCCUCCCUCCCUCCCUCCCUUCUUCCCUCCCUUCCUCCCUUCCUUCCUACUGAAUGAUUACAACCUUCCUUCCUUCCUCCCUUCCUCCCUUCCUUCCUUCCUUCCCUCCCUUCCUUGCUUCCUUUCUUCCUUCCUCCCUCCCUUCCUUCAUUCCUUCCUUCUUUUCUUCCUUCCUGCCUUCCUUCCUUCCUCCCUCAUUCCUUCCUUCAUUCCUUCCUUCUUUUCUUCCUCCCUUCAUUCCUUCCUCCCUCCCUCCCUUUCUUCCUUCCUUUCUUCCUUCCUCCCUCCCUUCCUCCCUCCCUCCCUUCCUCCCUCCCUUCCUUCCUUCCUUCCUUCCUUCCUUCCUUCCUUCCUUCCUCUCUCUAAGCCACAAACAUUUCCAGAGCACCUGCGACACUGUCCUAGGCUCUACAAACAGGGACACAAAGACAAAUAAUCCAUGGUUCCAGCCCUUAGGAAAGUCUAGUGGGGGAUGUUCUUACUACUCAUGGUGAGGAAAAAUUUAAGUGCCCCCAACAUCCUUCUGAAAGCUUGGGGCAAGGGAGAUAAACCAUCUGUGAAAAGGAAGCACGAAUAAGAAGAUUCACCGGUUUGAAAUUGAAUCCCAUUCAUCAAGCUCCAGGUUGCUUUCUCCCAGGAGAAGAGUAAUUUCUUGGGAUGAUGUUCAACUUGUGCAAACCCAUGGAAAGAACAUUCCGUUGAAGUUGCUGAUAGUGAUCAUGUUCUCCAUGAACUGGUUUCCAUGUUGCUGCCAGAUGGAAUCCUGGCAUCGGCCAGGGAAUCCCGUGGCCAGGUGGGCCUGCCUUCCUGAUGGGAGCCCCCAUCCAGGAUGGUUACCCAGGAUUGCAGCUCUCCCACCGAAAGUUUCAGGAACUCCCCCGGUGGAGUCCACUGGUUGGAACUCCUGUGCCACAGCAUGAAGCUCGGUGCUGGACAGAGAGAAGAUGCUCAGCGGACGGUAACUCACAACCCUCCUUUCCACACCUUCGCUCGACAGCAACUUGUUCUCAGAGUUACAUGGUACCUUAAAUCCCCGUGGACGGGGACCCGGUCUGCUGAGCUGAUGAACCCUAGAUAGCAUUGCCCCCCCUUGUAGGAGGUUCACUGGACUUUCACAGAAGGAUGUCUUUCAGUUUUUGCCAACUCUCUUAAGAUUCUGUCAUCUCUCCCACAGGCAGAGCGUCCAAGUGAGGGAGGGGGAGGCCGGGCUGGGAUGGGGUGGGGGGGCAGAGUGGGGGCCUCGGGGUUUUCCAGGCACCCGUUGAGACAUGUUAAUCGGUUGGACGAUCUGAAGAGUGGCCUGUGAUAAUCCUUGUCCUUUGUUAGAACACACCACAGCCUUCAGCACUGGGAUGCAAGGACCAGACUAAGCCCGAGGAAACUGGCAACCGAGCAGGGCAGUUUCGAUCUCCAUCCCAAAUGCAGGUGAGAGAAGGACGGGGGCCUGAAAGAAUGGCUGUGGGAAGGGUACCCUCGAUCCAGCAGAGGGCUCAUGGGAGUGCCUGCAGAGGACCAUGCCUUCCCGGCGGCGGUGCAGAAGUCUCUCCCUCCCCGGGGGCUAGGAAUUCAAGUCUUCCUCCCCCUUCGGCUUCUGGAAAAGCGUGUGGAGAAUGCACUUGCUACAGAAGAAUUCUCAAGGCUUGCUCCGCACCCCCCCCUCCCUUUUUUUUUCCCCCAGUUAGUUUACAUACAGUGAGGGCUUCCUUUGAAAGGAGGGCUGCUGGGGCGCCUGGGUGGCGCAGUCGGUUAAGCGUCCGACUUCAGCCAGGUCACGAUCUCGCGGUCCGUGAGUUCGAGCCCCGCGUCGGGCUCUGGGCUGAUGGCUCAGAACCUGGAGCCUGUUUCCGAUGCUGUGUCUCCCUCUCUCUCUGCCCCUCCCCCGUUCAUGCUCUGUCUCUCUCUGUCCCAAAAAUAAAUAAACGUUGAAAAAAAAAAAAUUUAAAAAAGAAAGGAGGGCUGCUGGGGAUUGUUUACAUGCUUAUAGGACAGUGUCUAUUUUUCGGGGGUGGGGAGGGGCAGAGAGAGAGGGGGAGAGAAUCCCAGGCAGGCUCCACGCUGUCCGCGCAGAGGUCGACUCGGGGCUCGAACUCACAAACCAUGAGACGGUGACCUGAGCUGAAAUCAAGAGUGGGACGCUUACACUGCUGAGCCACCCAGGCGCCCCCUAUAGGACAGUGUCUAUUAAAUGAAGAGUUCAGGGUGGGGCCGAGGCCAGAGAUUUACGAUUAAAGGGUUCCUAUCCAGGUCUAGUUGAAGAUCAACCAGGGUUUAAGGAAAAACUAUAAAGGAAAUGUUUUCUCAGGCCUCCUGGAGGGGAGGCACCCACGUGAAGGGCGAGACGGAGGAACAAGUAACUGCAGAGUGGAAGUCCUGGAUCAUAGGGGACCGACCAAGGACUGUUGGCUCAGUCCAGGCCGUAGCCAUGAUUUGGGCCUGCACAACAAUUAAACUUUUUUUUUUUUUUUUUAAGUUUACUUACUUAUUUUGAGAGAGAGAGAGGGAGGAGAGGCAGAGAGAGAGAAUCCCAAGCAGGCUCCAUGCUGCCAGCACAGAACCUGAUACAGGGCUUGAACUCACGAACUGUGAGAUCAUGGCCUGAGCUGAAACCAAGAGCUUAACUGACUGAGCCACCCAGGCGCCCCACAAUUGCACUUUUUUUCUUUUUUUUUUGAGGUAAUUGGGCACAUUUAAAAAUCUGGAGAUUUCACAGAAAGUAGGGAAUGUAUGGCUUUCCUUGAAAUGUGAACAUCUUCAUGGAACCUGUCAGUUGGAGCGAGUGACAGUCCUGUCACUGGGGAAUUGGAGUUCAUCAGCACCCCCUUGUCCCAGGGACCCCCCUCCUGCAUCCCAGCACUACGUGGGGCUGAGCCCUCCGGGGGGUUCUGUGCAUCCCCUCCCCUCACCCCUUCUCUCCCCAGCACCCCACCUCUACCCUGGCGUCUCCUGUCCACUAAUAAAUCUGUGCGCCCCCUUCCCUGUUUAAAGACAGUCCCCUCUGGCUAGCUGUGGUGCUGUCCCUGUGGAGCCAACCUGCUAGAAAGGGUGCCUCUUCCUUGCCUCCUACUCACCCUAGUGCCCCCCCUCCACCGCCCCCCUGCCCUCACCCCUCCCCCCAACUAAAGUUGUUCUUGCUUAUCCUUAUACUCUAUGCAGCUCAGUCCCUGGGCACUUGGUGCCGUGUGUCCCCCCCUCCUGGAAGGCUUCUCCUCCCUCUGCUUAGUGACAUCUCUUGAUUUUUUUUUUUUUUUUCAGUUGAUUGAUUUAUUUUGAGAGUGAGCGAGCGAGUGCGAGCUGGGGAAGGGCAGGGAGAGAGAGGCAGAGAGAGAGUCCCAAGCAGUGCAGGGCUCGAACCCACGAAUCGCGAGAUCAAGACCUGAGCGGAAACCAAGAGCCUGAAACAGUCAACCGACUGAGCCCUCCAGGUGACCCACAUCUCUUGUCUUGAGGUCUGUGUGGUUAGGGGGGACUCUCCCCUCCCUUCCCAGGCCCUCUGGGGGCUCUCUUCUCGCAAGCUUGCAAAUGGCAGAACUUCCCAGGGACCUGGCCUGGGGUCUUUAUUUUACUGACUCUAGACUCUCCCUGGGUCACCUCGUGGGGCCUGCUGGUUCAAGCCUGCUUUUCCAAGCGCCAGGCCUGACGUCUUAGAUUUUCAUUGCUUACUGCAGUCGCCUCCUAACUGGUCUGCCUGUCACAGAUCUGUCCCCUCCGCGGCUGGAGUGAGCUUUAAGUAGAGGCCAGCCUAACAUCUUUGACGCCAGCUGAGCAAAGUGCUCACAGGUGCCCAAAGUCACUGCGCUGGUGCCAGCUCCUGUGUGUUCACGAUGCCCUUCCACACGCCUUCUGCUUCCUGUUUUUGCUGGGCAUUUGAGUCACGAACCCAGGCCCACCUGAGCCUCUGGGCUCGGUGUCCCUUCUCUGUGUUCUCCCAUGGUGCCCGGGCAUCCCUGUUUCGGCUCCCACAGUAUGAGGCUUCCACCAGACUUCACAUCCAGUGGGGACCAGGAAGGUCCCCGGCACAGCGUGCCAGGCGCAUAAAAGAGAUGAUUGCAAGAGCUUCGGGCUGGCUUCCCGGCCGCACGUGGCCGGAUAAUCCUCUCUUGCCCCUUUGGGAGCGAAUUCUAGCUUCUCACGGUGUUUGCCUUGCCCACGCGGCACUUUUUGCUUGUACGGUGUCCUUCGUCGACAUUUAUGAAGUGUCUUGAGAUUUAAAGGUGUUCGGGAUCCUUCCUCAAAGGACUUGUUAAACUCUGAUGCAUAAUAUCUAGCCAGUUCGAUGAGCAUUUAUCGAGAGCCGGCGCGGAAGGAGGCGGAAUUAAAGCAGCCGAGAACGGGGAUUCAGAUCAAGUGUGUGCAGCUUAGAGGAACUUGCUGUGGCUUUUUGUCUGGCUGUGGCUUAGUCUAAACUAGAGGGAGAGAUUACAGUUAUAUCUGUCGGGGACUCAUCGACAGACCGUGUCACAGGCUUUCCCCAGGUCACGAUCCUGGGUGGCUCAGCUGGUUGAGCAUCUGACUCUUGAUCUCAGCUCAGGUCUUGAUCUCAGCGUCGUGAGUUCAAGCCCCGCGUUGGGCUCCAUGCUGAGUGUGAAGUCUACUUAAAAAAAAGAGGGGGGGGUGGUGGUGGUGGAAAGAAACCAACUUCUAUGUCCCGCACUUUCAUGGACUUUGAAGCUGAGUUUUGUGUCAACAUGACUUCACUGGGAUGCUGGAAAUGAACCUUUUCUGCCCCUGCCAGGAGCCUCCGGCUCUCUCUAAAUCAACUCCUCCGGAGGAUUCUGCCCUUUCCCUUAAUAGUUAAAAACACGUUUGAACGGCACACAACUUGUGUUUGCUUCCUCGCGGCAACACGGCUGUCAACUGUUGUCAUAAAGGCGUUUCGGGAAGGAGAUCAGCGGGUGUGACCAGAAAGCCACUGCUGCACUUUGAGAUACGACUGUGAGGUUUCAGCCAGGGCGCUUUUCAGUCGAGGCAUCUCCCCGGUCACACAGUGUCCUAAGGGCUCAAGUGGAAGCCUGGGAAAUUGGCCACAGUGUCGCAGGUCACGCUGUCUGGCACCAGGAGCCGUGUAGCCCUGCUCUGGGACUGCACUGCUUGGGGUCGAAUCCUCGUUCCUGCCCAAACUCUGAGCUUGGGAAGUUCCAGUGUCCUCAUUUGUGAAAUCCUGGUGGGAUGAUUGGGCGACUCCUCUUACAUGGUGGCCGCGUGGUUUGAGCCCCUUGGUCCCUAGAUGGUGCUUAGACACAUAGUAAGUGUGAGCUGUUGCCAUUAUGCCCUUUCAUCGGCCUCGCCUGGGACUGUUCACCGUGGGCACUUGCUCUAGGUCAACAAAGCUGUCAUCAGCUGUCCCCCACCGUUUGCGUACCUCACUGUCCCUGUGCCUGGUGUUCGAGGCCCCUUUGCUCUCUGCUUCUCUGAGCAUCUUAUUCUAGUCCUGUCCUCUUCCGUAUUGUCUUUGCUGCCUACAACAAGCUUCUGUUUUGCCCCUGCCCGCCCCCCCCCCCGCCCCCGCAGUUCUCUCCCUCUCCCAAUUCCGAAGCCUCUGGAUGGAAUGGAUGCAGACAUUCCUGUGCCCAUGGCUAACCGUGGGGCAACUCUAGGAUAAUUUUUCAUUUGCCUUUGUGUUUGUAAAUCUUAUAGAACCCUUGCCGGUGGACUAACCCGUGAGAUCACCAUCUAUUUUCUAAAAGUUCUCUUUUCCUCCCCUCCCCUCCCCUCCNNNNNNNNNNNNNNNNNNNNNNNNNNNNNNNNNNNNNNNNNNNNNNNNNNNNNNNNNNNNNNNNNNNNNNNNNNNNNNNNNNNNNNNNNNNNNNNNNNNNNNNNNNNNNNNNNNNNNNNNNNNNNNNNNNNNNNNNNNNNNNNNNNNNNNNNNNNNNNNNNNNNNNNNNNNNNNNNNNNNNNNNNNNNNNNNNNNNNNNNNNNNNNNNNNNNNNNNNNNNNNNNNNNNNNNNNNNNNNNNNNNNNNNNNNNNNNNNNNNNNNNNNNNNNNNNNNNNNNNNNNNNNNNNNNNNNNNNNNNNNNNNNNNNNNNNNNNNNNNNNNNNNNNNNNNNNNNNNNNNNNNNNNNNNNNNNNNNNNNNNNNNNNNNNNNNNNNNNNNNNNNNNNNNNNNNNNNNNNNNNNNNNNNNNNNNNNNNNNNNNNNNNNNNNNNNNNNNNNNNNNNNNNNNNNNNNNNNNNNNNNNNNNNNNNNNNNNNNNNNNNNNNNNNNNNNNNNNNNNNNNNNNNNNNNNNNNNNNNNNNNNNNNNNNNNNNNNNNNNNNNNNNNNNNNNNNNNNNNNNNNNNNNNNNNNNNNNNNNNNNNNNNNNNNNNNNNNNNNNNNNNNNNNNNNNNNNNNNNNNNNNNNNNNNNNNNNNNNNNNNNNNNNNNNNNNNNNNNNNNNNNNNNNNNNNNNNNNNNNNNNNNNNNNNNNNNNNNNNNNNNNNNNNNNNNNNNNNNNNNNNNNNNNNNNNNNNNNNNNNNNNNNNNNNNNNNNNNNNNNNNNNNNNNNNNNNNNNNNNNNNNNNNNNNNNNNNNNNNNNNNNNNNNNNNNNNNNNNNNNNNNNNNNNNNNNNNNNNNNNNNNNNNNNNNNNNNNNNNNNNNNNNNNNNNNNNNNNNNNNNNNNNNNNNNNNNNNNNNNNNNNNNNNNNNNNNNNNNNNNNNNNNNNNNNNNNNNNNNNNNNNNNNNNNNNNNNNNNNNNNNNNNNNNNNNNNNNNNNNNNNNNNNNNNNNNNNNNNNNNNNNNNNNNNNNNNNNNNNNNNNNNNNNNNNNNNNNNNNNNNNNNNNNNNNNNNNNNNNNNNNNNNNNNNNNNNNNNNNNNNNNNNNNNNNNNNNNNNNNNNNNNNNNNNNNNNNNNNNNNNNNCCUUCCCUUCCCUUCCCUUCCCUUCCCUUCCCUUCCCUUCUUUUCUUGUUUAUUUACUUAUUUGGAAGGAGAGACAGAGUGUGUGAGUAGGGGAGGGGGCAGAGAGAGAGGGAGAGAGAGAAUCCCAAGCAGGCUCCGCACUGUCAGUGCAGAGCCUGAUCCUAGGCUUGAACCCACCAACCGUGAGAUCCUGACCUGAACUGAACUCAAGAGUCGGACGCUCGACUGACAGAGCCACCCAGGUGCCCCACCAUUUUGUUUUUUGCCUCUAUGAAUUAACUACUUAGGUCACUCGUAUCAGUGGAACCAUACAAUAUUUGUCCUUUUGUGCCUGGCUUCAUUUCACUCAGCAUACUGUCCUCAUGGUUCAGCCAGGUUGUAGCAGGUGUCAGAAUUUCAUUUCUUUUUAAGGCUGACUAAUGUUCCAUUUGUACGUGCAUAUAUGCAUGCCGCCUUUUGUUUAUCCAUUCGUCCAUCCAUUAUGGACAUUCAGGUUGUUUCCACAUCUUCGCUAUUGUGAAUAACGCUGCCAGAAACAGUAUGGCACCUGUUUCCAACCCGCUCUGCCUGUUUCUGCCCCGGGAACCCUCUGGUCUCCUCUUAGCCCAGCAACAGGUUGGAGCCUUUUAAAACAUGAGUCAAAUAACGUCAUUCCUCACUCACAACCUUCCCUUGCUCUCCCUCUGACUCGAGGCAGAUCUCAAGGGCUUGCGAAGGUCUGCUGGCCCUCACCACUCUUCUGACCUCAGCUCUCGUCUUUUAUUGAGCUCCGGCCACAAGGGUUUCCUUGCUCCUUCACCUCAGGGCUCCUGCAUUUGCCAUGAACUAUGCCUGGAACGUUCUUCCCUCGAUCAGCUCUUUGCCCUCCAGUGUCACUUGACCGGAGAGCCUUCUUUGAUACAUAAAGUAACAAGCCCUCCUUCCCCUGACCUCAAACACCGCCAUUUACCCAUUUCCCUAUCGCUCCCUGGAGUAGAUUAACACCCUAAUUUGCUCGCUUCCUUCUUCCUCACUAGAAGGUAAGCUUCAUGUUGUCAGGGGCUCUGUUUGGUUUCCUCUGGUGUCCUCAGUGCCUAGCACAUAGUGUGCUCAGUUCGUAUCUGUUGAAUGAAUGGGCGGUGCUUUGAGGUCCCCACCUUAACGGACCCCUGAUGUUUCUGUGCCUCUGACCAUUGGGCAGAGGCGACAAGAUCCUGCUGCUGUCAAGGCUUCAGUGUCAUCCUUCUGGCCCAGGGCAGCUUCAAAAUGAAGUGAAACUGGUUGAUCAGCAUUUGCCGCUCCCUUUGGCCUCAGUGGGUUCUUAACAUGCAUGUCCCUGAUGGCUGCAAGGAUUUCUCCUAAAAUACACAGCCCUUCAAAGACGUGUCCCACGCGUGGUGUUCCUCACACGGGGCUCUUGUGGGUAUCUUCUCAGGGGCCCGAGGAUUCGACCCGAUUUGAAAUUUUGUUUUCACAUUUUGAUGACACUCUGUGAAAAGAGAAAGAAUGGAAGCGUACUUACUUUUGUGUUUUUGUUUGUUGAUGACCGUCUUCCCGCCAAGGAGUGCCACAUAAGUGGUUCGCGGGAGGUGUUCGCUUUUGUCUGUGGAUGGUACUCUCGGUACCCAGUGACCACCUGAGGCAAUGGCCUCUAAUUCUUAAACUGGGGUCAUUGGUUCGUGGAGGUCUUCCUGCAAAUCUGUGAUCAUUUUUUUUUUCCUGUAAAAGGUGUCUGAGAAGUAUUCGGACUGCACAGCCAUUAACCACGAGCUAGAGUGAAGGCUGAGAUACGAUACCAGGAUAGAAAUCUUCCAGGCUCCAGGUGGUUGUUUCACAAGGGUCUGAGUCAGCCGGAGACAACGGGGUACAAAAACAGAGGCAGGAACCUUGGCUGUAGAGUCUGGAACAGCCUCUGUCUCUGAAUUAACCGUGUGGCCCUGGGUUUGUCAACUCACCUUUCUGGGUCUCAGUCCUUCAUCUUUAAGUUCUCUUCCAGCUCAGACAUUUGGUUUUGUGAGGUCCGUCGAGCAGCAAUGUCCAUUUGAACACCAAGAGAAAUACUUUGUUGGUACCGAGCCCAGGGCACUGGCAAUGAGGAUUAACAAUGACUACAUUUGACGGGUGUCCAUUCAAAUCUUGCUUUCUCCAAAUGGCUUUUUCUGAAGACUUUAUCUAAAAUCACACCCUGAUCUCUGUCCCAUUUAUCCUGUUCGAUUUCUCUUCAUAUUCUUUUCCUAUGUUUUUGAGGAAAUCUGACUCUUUUUUUUUUUUUUUUUUAAUUUUUAUGUUUUAUUUCUUACAGCUUUCAAAUAUGUAUACUUCCACACUUUCAAUUAAAGAUAAUAAAACUGUUAACUAUAUAAAAUGAAGGAUUUUUUUUUUAAAUUUUUUAAAUGUUUAUUUACUUCUGAGACAGAGAGAGACAGAGCAUGAGUGGGGGAGGGGCAGGGAGAGAGGGAGACACAGAAUCCGAAGCAGGCUCCGGGCUCCGAGCUGUCAGCACAGAGCCCGACGUGGGGCUCGAACUCACAGACCGUGAGAUCACGACCUGAGCCGAAGUUGGUUGCUCAACUGACUGAGCCACCCAGGUGCCCCGAAAUCUGACUCUUACUAUCAUUAUUAUUUGGUCAUUUCUUAUUAUCUCUUUUCCUUCUAAAGGUCGACUCUAUAAGGUGGAGUCUUUUCUAAGACUGUGCCCCAGAACCUUGGGACACUGCCUGUCAUUUUGGAGACACCAGUCAACCUUUGCUGAAAAGCCUAAUGAUUUGAGCACCUCGUUUGGUUUGGGUACUGUCCCAAGUGCUUUACCCUUCAAUCAGUACGUGCAUUAAGGAAGAAUUAUUAUUAGCCUUACGCAGUGGCUGAGAAAACUGGGGUCUCAUGACUUCCCUCUAAGGGUCAGAGCUGGGACUUGAACCCAGGUAAGUUGUCCACCUUGCUGUAUUCAUCCCUAGCUUUGGGACCUCUACGGGAGGGCUCUGGUACCAAAUGCAUCAAGGCACAGGUAGGGCUCUGUUUCUCCUCUCUUCUUUCUAAUAUUGCUCUGUUCAUGGGGAAAGGGAAAAUCAAACUCUCAUUUAUUGAAGAGGCUAUACUUUCCCCAUUGUGUAUAUCCCUGGCUCCUUUGUUAUAAAUUAAUUGACCAUAAAUGCAUGGGUUUAUUUCUGGGCUCUCUAGUCUGUUCCAUUGACCCGUAUAUCUGUUGUUAUACCAAUACCAUACUGUUUUGAUUAUUGUAGCUUCGUAAUAUAGUUUGAAGCCAGGAAGUGUGAUGCCUCCAGCUUUGUUCGCCUCUCUCAGGAUUGCUUUGGCUGUUUUGUGGUUCCAUACAAGUGUUCGAUUGUUUUUUCUAUUUCUCUGAAAAAUGUCAUUGGGAUUUUGAUAGAGAUGGCAUCCACUCUGUAGGUUGUUUGGGGAAGUGUUGGCAAAAAUCAAACUCUCAGAGCCCUCCCUGACUGCCUUUGUUUGCUCUGGCUGUACAGAAAACACUGGGCAGAACAUUCCAGAACUGGGUGGCUCGUUAGCUUUCCUCUGGUUCCACCCAUCCCUUCAUUUUAUUUUACUUUAUUAUUAUUUUUUAAAAAUGUUUAUUAAGUUUUGAGAGAGAGUGCAAGUAGGGAAGGGGCUUAGAGCGGGAGACAGAGGAUCUGAGAUAGGCUCUGCUCUGAUGGUAGCCAGCCGGAUGUGGGGCUUGAUCUCGCUAACCUCGAGAUCAUGACCUGAGCCAAAGGCAGACGCCUAACCGACUGAGCCACCCGGGUGCCCCAACUCCCAUAAUGUCUUGAACUACAAACUGGCAAAUUCGUGAGCCUUCAGCAGUCUGACCGGUAAACCAGAAGGCCCGUGGAGGGAGUGCCGCGGCCCACCCCACCUGGUCUGUCGCCAUCUAGUGGCCCGCUCGGGUGUCCCCUAACGUGGGUGCUGUUCAGUUUCUGUAGAAGCAGUUGCUCCCUGAGGUCCCUGCCUCUGAGCAGGCUGCCUUCCAGGCAUUUCUUCUUCAUCUGAAAACCACGUCUUUCAAAAUGUCAUCUUUUGGGGGGUCAGAUGCACCAGGAUGAGCUUCAGGACCAUGACGUGGGCAUCUUUGUAUCUUCAUGCUUCUGACCGUUAACUGUCUUCAUCUUUUUCCUCCUAGGCCUCCUAGGGGUUAAAUGCUAUCAGGAAGAAGCAGGGCAAGUUCCCCUGCUUACUCUGCACAUGAGGAAUGAGGAAUAUUUGACGUUCAUGAGUAAGCUAUUGCCUAUUGAUGUUCCGAUUACAGAGAAAAUGUCCUUGUUCCUCUUUGUUACCCGUGAAACGGCGGCGAACGGUGCAAGAUCGACUAUAAUUAUGUGCUUGAGUGAUGUGGUCUCUAUGAUACUAGGUGCAGAAAUUCAGGGGAAGAGAGUAUUGGAGAUGGUCAGAAUGGCCAGGUAAUAAUAAAAACAAAAAUAACACGAGAACUAACCUUUACCAAGCACUUUCUAGGUGUCAGGCGUGAUGCAAAUGCUUUAUGUGACUUAAAAAUCCCCACGAAAACCCUAAGACGCAGGUGCACUCGUAUCCCUAUUUUACAGUGGAGGAGUGUGAGACAUAGAAAGAUCGAGUAAUUUGCCCAAAGUGAUAGAGAGCUGGGAGGGGCAGAGCCAAGGUUUGGAUCCAGACUGGGCAGCUCCAGAGUCCUUUCUCUAGAAUGCUACACCUGAUGGUCUUGAUGAUGGCUUUGUGAAGGAGGUGGGCCUGGAGCCUUGAAGCACGAGAGGUCCUGCAGCAUGGGGACAAUCUGAGAGGUGGCCCAGGGAUGGAGUAGGCAUGGCAGGCCCCAACAGGGAAGGAGAGACUGACCUCACUUGGGAGAGGGCACGUGCUGAAGAGCAGUGGGGAGGAUGGCGAGGCAGUAGAGUGGGGACAGAUGAUAAAAGGUCUUAACAUCUAGGCAGAGAGGGUUUGGUCUUGAGAUCUCCUUUGAAGUGUGUUACAAGGUGGCUUUCUAGAAGCAGAGGUUUGGGUGGCAGCGACAGGUCUGAGGGUAGGAGGUGUGGAGGCAGGAAUGAAGCGUUGAGGGUCUAGCCUAGGAUGAUGCAAGAGGCCUGGAAGCAAGGGAGCGCAGUGUGAGCGAAUUCACAGACGGGAACAGAGGUGGGAAAAGAAGCUCCACAUUCUGCUGGCUUUGAGGUUCUGAGUCUGGCAGGAGGCACAGUGUUGACUCCAUGGGCUGAGAGCUCACUGCUUAACUCACCCAAAGUGCUCUCACAGAGAAUUAAACAGAUAGGACAUAAUCAGGUUAUUGGUCUUAAAAGGCUACUGAGAAUUUUUCCUAUUGAUUGUGUCAGUCAGGGUUUGAUCAGAGAAGUAGAACCCCUGUGAGCUAUAGAGAAGAGGGGCUUUAUCAUGCGGGGCAGAGCUCCCGGGCUGGUGGGAGGUGGGUCUGAAGUCUGUACAAGGUGUUGUCCUUCUGUCUUAUCUGGGCCGGCUCAGGGAGGGACGAUGGAAGCAAAGGGAUAGACUGGAACCACCAGCGUUGGGGUGCGUGGGGGUGCGUCUGCCCUCCACCACCUUUAGAGCAGAACAAAAUGGCGGUGCUUCACUUGCGCCUUCUAGAAAAUGUAGCCACACUGUCCUUGUCCACAUACAAGGCAGAUUCACUUUUCUUUAAUCUUUCUAUUGGCCUCAUCACGUACACAGGUGGCGGGAGGUUUCCUGCAGCCGCGUCUUCUGCAUUCGCCUCCUAGGGCCUCUGGAACGAGGUGCCAUUGACCAGGUGGCUCGAACCGCAGAGACUUCUUGUCUCACGGUUCUGGAGGCUGAAGUCCAAGAUCAAGGUCUCGGCACGGUUGGUGUCUUGAGGCCUCUCUCCUCGGCUGGUAGAUGCUGGUCUUCUCCCUGGGUCUCCAUGUGGUCUUCCUUCUAUAACUGCCCGUGUGCUUAGGUCCUCUGGCGAGUAAGGACACCAGCCAUAUUGGAUUCGGCCGCCUCUGAUGACCUUACUUUCGUCUCUUCUUUAAGGACCCGUCUUGAAAUACAGUCCCAUUCUGAGGUGCCGGAAGUUAGGAUUUCUCCAUAUGAAUUUUUUGAGGGUAUGGUUCAGCCUCUCACACUUUCUUUCUCAUCCUACUUAACCUUGUGGUGAAGGAUUAGCCCCACAGCUAGACCGACGGCUCCGGCUCUUACCUCUGGUUACUCAUGGAAGGCAGCCUCUGGGCUUUUUUGGGAAGGUCAAGGACGUUAUUUUCUGAGGCCUGUUUUCCUGUGCGAGGCUGUCUUCGCCCAGGCAAGGGGUGUUCCUCCUCCGUGCCACACAUUCCGACUUGGUCAGAUCAGAAAGCAGCAAAUCCAGGGGGAAUUUUUUUUUUUUUUUUUUUUAACUGUCUGCAGAAUCCCUUGCAUAGCAGAGAGCUCAGGAAGGAAGGCCCUGUUUGGGGACAGAGGUCAGGGGCCCUUCAGAAAGGGUCAGGCCCUCCUCUGCUAAUCCCAAGUCUGCUCGAUUAGCCUCUAGAAUGAACUUUGACACAACCCAAGAAUGUAAUUUAACCCUUGAGCUUUAUUUUCUCUCGUCCCUAAAACAUCAGACUCCUGGGGGAUUUAGAAAGGGGCUGGGGCAGGCAUAGCAAGGACAGGGUUCGGUGGCUCUCGCUUUCCAGGACAGCUGGCCACUGGGGCUUGCCUGAGCCCCCUGGCAGGAAGCAGAGUCUGGGCGAGGCUUCCCGAGUCCUGCGUACUGCUGUCCUGCUAGAAAUAGGGAGAGCGGGGUGUGAUACCCUUCUGCAAAUCUGGAAUCAAACCAGAAAGGUACCUGGCAUCUUACUGCUCUCUCCUCGCGUUUCCAGCUCCCUGGCCCCAGCCAAGGUCGCCGUCGCUUUUUGCUGAAGUGAAAAACAGUGGAGAUAUGAAUAUUCCCUAGAGCCACUUUGGAAUACGUUCAAGAAUAGUUUCACAGCGAAACAGGCAAAAGGACGAGAUUGCACAAAGGGCUGGAUCACCCACUUGGAGAGCCGGUUCUAGAAAGAGGACUUUGAUUUCAUGCUAGGGGCUUCACGCGCAGAGGAAGAAGGGAGUGGGCAGCGUUGGGGCGGAGGGGACAGAGGCCUGCUACCUGUCCAGGAGGUCCCCCCGUGCACAGUGACAGGCUGUCAGGGGGACAGCUUAGUAAACGGGUCACGAGCGGUCUGGCAGCCUUCCAACCCUCCUUGUACCUGAGACAAAAAGGCAGGCCUGGCAAAACUAUUUAGGUAAUUUCCUAGUGCAUUUACCACUUCACAGACCCCACGCUACCCGAGAAUGGGGGUCUUGAAAAGAAAUAAAGCCAUCUAAAAUUUGUCCAACUAUCUUAUUACAGUAAGUGCUGAAGUAGGUACAGUUUAUUUUUUUAUGUUUAUUUAUUUUUCAGAAAGAGAGAGAGAGACAGACAAGGUGUGAGUGGGGGAGGGGCAGAGAGAGAGAGAGAGAGAGAGAGAGAGAGAGAGGGAGACACAGAAUCUGAAGCAGGCUCCAGGCUCUGACCUGGUCGGGCUUGAACUCACGAACUGCGAAAUCAUAACCUGAGCCGAAGUCGGAUGCUUAACCCGUUGAGCCACCCAGGCACCCGUGAAGUAGGUAUAUUUUCUAAUCUUCACUGUCUACCUUAGUGAAACUCUUGUGCACCAAGGCCUGGCAGGUCCUAUAUAUAUAUAAUUUAUAUAUAGUAGAAUUUAUAUAUAGUAGAAUAUAAUUUACAUAUUUUUUUCAAGUGUAUUUUUUCAAGUGAUUUUGUGUGGUGUGAACUUUCCUGCUUUCUAACCACGGCCAGGGGUGGUCAAUUUGGGAAAAGCAAAGGAGGAGAAAAAAAAAGGAAAAAAGAAGAGGCUCUCUUCCACCAGUGCUCUCCUGGGGUCUGGAAAGGGGUUACAGUGGCCCCAGCAAGGGCCGCUAACUCCCUGCAGGGUCUGUGGGGAGCACCGGCAGGGACCGGAGGGGUCCAGUUUUAGUCUGGGGAGGCCUCAGGGCCAAGCCGCACCCAGCCCCAGAUGCAGCUGGGAGAAUGGAAUGCCGUGCUGACCAGACCCGCCUGGCCGAGGCUGUGGGAGGCAAGAGGCCAUCCCCAGAAACCACAGGGAACAGUGUGAGGAGAUAAAGAGACCAAGUGCUUUGUGCUCUUAAGAUAACACCCUCUCCUGAGAGGGGGAGGUCCUUGGAGCAGGGCAACUGAGAUUCCAGGCUGCUUCUGGGGGACCCAGACUGAGUAAAACCCUCUGACCAGGUUUUCCUUUGCUCUUGUAUACAUUCCCCAGCCGGCCUUCCUGCUCUUUUCACACGUACUGGAGGCCUCUGGGCCUUUGCACGUGUAAUUCCUUCGGCCAGGAGUGCCCCGGCCGCUCCCUGAGCCAAUUAUCCCUCCGGAUGUUGACAGCCUUCACCCCUCAGGAAAGCCUGAGGUCCCCUGGUAAGUGUUGUCCCAGCUCCCUGCCCCUGGUCUCUGUGACUCCUCCUCUCCUUCGCCACGUUAUAACCCCAGCCUCCAAGAAGUCAGCGAGUCCCUUGCAUGUUGCCACGUGUCUGUGCCUGGAGGUAGUCCUUUGGGGGUGUGAGGGUGGAAGAAGGGAGACCCCUGCCGUCUCCCCCGUGAGGGGGGGUGUAGCAUCCACUUCCAGAUGAGGAAGGUGGGGCUCAGCAGGCCCCGGGACUGGACUCGGGCUACACAGCUCAGAAGGGGUCAUGGUUCCCAGUUCUCACACUUAGGGUGCCUAAGACCCUCUGGGGAGCUGGUUAAAAACAUAGCUUCCUUGCCUGGCUCUCAAGAUUCUGUGUCACGGCUUUUUUUUUUUUUUUUUUAAUUUUUAAUUAAAAAAUUUUGUGUUUUUUUUUUUUAAAGUUUAUUUAUUUACUUCUGAGAGAGACAGAGUGAGCGGGGUGGGGCAGAGAGAGAGAGGGAGAGAGAGAAUCCCAAGCAGGCUCCGCACCAUUAGCACGGAGCCCGAUGAGGGGCUUGGCAUCACAAACUGUGAGAUCAUGACCUGAGCCGAAACCAAGAGCUGGAUGCUUAACCGACUGAGCCACCCAGGCACCCCUUAUUUAUUAUUAUUAUUAUUACUAAAAAAAAUUUUUUUAAUGUUUAUUUUUGAGAGAGAGAGAGAGCGAGCGAGCAGGGGAGGAGGCAAGAGAAAGAGACACAGAAUCUGAAGCAGGUUCCAGGCUCUGAGCUGUCAGCUCAGAGCCCGACGCGGGGCUCGAACCCACAAACCGUGAGAUCAUGACCUGAGCCAAAACCAAGGGUCGGAUGCUUAACCACCUGAGCCACCCAGGCGGCCCUUGAAUCAUUUUUUUUUUUUUUUUUAUUUAAAAAAAAAAAUUUUUUUUUCAACGUUUAUUUAUUUUUGGGACAGAGAGAGACAGAGCAUGAACGGGGGAGGGGCAGAGAGAGAGGGAGACACAGAAUCGGAAACAGGCUCCAGGCUCUGAGCCAUCAGCCCAGAGCCCGACGCGGGGCUCGAACUCACGGACCGCGAGAUCGUGACCUGGCUGAAGUCGGACGCUUAACCGACUGCGCCACCCAGGCGCCCCUUGAAUCAUUUUUAAAGUGCACAGUUUGGUGGCAUUCAGGACAUUGACGCGGUCAUGCAACCAUCGCCACCAUCCAUCUCCAGCACUUUUUCAUCUUUCCAGACAGAAACUGUCCCCAUGAAACACUAACUCCCUGCUCCCCCUCCCCCAGCCCUUGGCAGCCACCCACCCGUCUUUUUUCUGUCUCUAUGGAUUGACUAGGGACCUCCGAUAAGUGGAAUCAUACAGCCUGUGUCCUCUUGUGUCUGGCUUAUGUCAGUGUCAGCAGCGUUUUAAACAAGGGCCCCUGGUAAUGCUCGCCUAGGGGUCUGGACUGCUCCGCGAAAUUCUGGUCGCGGCAGGGAGGAGGGGCGGGAGAAGCGUCCUGGCACAGGCUUGGAGGGCUGAAUUUACAUGGGGUGAGGCAGGAAGGGGUCAGGGGGUGUGGGCUGAGAGGCAGAAAGGGGGAGCGGUGAGGGGGAUGGUGACAGAGGGGCCCUGGGGUGGGCAGCGGCUGGUUUCUGGCAGGUAGUGCUCAGGGCAGGGUGUUGACCAAGGAGCUCAGGGCAGAGGGCCCGUGGAAGGAGAGGUGUGUGGACCAGUCAGGUCAGGGAGGGUCCAGAGGCUGUGGAUCACAGGCCAGGGCGAGGUGCCGAUAAGGCUGGGGUGUGGUGGGGGUGUGUGAGGGCCAUGAGAAAAACCGGAGGGGCGGGUGGUGGUGUCAGAGCCACGCAGGUCAACCCAAGCGGGGGCGCCCUUGAGAAGCAGGGCCCAGAUCCCACCCUAGGCCUAGAGGCAAAAAAGUAGGGUCAUCAGGUCUGGGCAAGCGGGCCUGUGGGCACAAGAGAGAGGUUUGACAUGGGGCCAACCCUUUGCCUCAGUCAGGAGAUUGCGCAGACUUCCUGCUGAGGAGGUGCCCGGGUUCGGGGCAGUGUGACCCUGAGGGCGCGCCCAGGGCGUGGGAGCGGCAAGGUCGACACCCCCCNAGGGCCCCCCCCCCCCCCCCCCCCGACGCCCCACCGCAGACAGCUCGCUCAGGGGUGUCUUUCUCCGCCUUUCCACCCUCUCCCACCCCAUCUGCCUCUGCUCCCCCCUUUCCUCUUAAUUCCUCCUUGUCCCGAGGGCCCUGCACAGAGCUGGCGCACCGCUUUGCCUCCUACGUCUGCCCGGCACCUCACUUUCCCCUCUUAGGACGUGCACGGAAACAGCACCGACGGCAGAGGUCGGUCUUAGGGAUUAGAUGGGAGAACUCAGGUAACGGGCUCAGAGCCGUGCUUGGUGCAGCUGGCAGUUAAUAAAUAUCCGUCAGAACUCACAGAAGUUUCUGGUAGGGUGUGACUUUCCCUGACUUACUAUUAUUUUUCCCACGUAAUGCAACAGAGACUUCGAGAGGAGGCCCAGGACCUCCAGGCGCCGCGUGUACGGACGUGGACAGCAUGGGCAGCGGGCAGUGGGUGAGUGGUGGCCGAGACGGCUUGAGCCGGCCUCCCCCGCUCUGCAGGAUUUCUGCCAUAUCUUGCGGGGAGCGGGGAAGCUGCUGGAAGUCGGCUUGCUUGAGGGAUGGAGGGGUUUUCUGAUAAACAAAUUCCUUUAAGGGAAGAAAGAUUUAGGCUUCAGCUGUUGGAGGUUGCCAGAUGGUUCGACGUGCGGCCUGAGGUGGGACCCUCGAAUAUGUCUUCCUGUGUCUCACCCUUGAGUCCUGUGGAGACAAGGGGGCUGAGUCAGAACGUGGAAGGAUGAUGCCUUCGUGCUCAUCGGUCUGAGGCAGAAGGAAGAGGCGUUUUGCCCAAAUGGGCACGAAGGAUGGGGUGUCUUUGUCGCACUGAGGACCCAGGAAAUACAGUGUGGCCUUGGGCCUUCACGCCCGGUCACAGCAGCACAGUGCCUUGCGGCGACACCACAGUGCCCAGCGGUGUGGUGGCCCCCUUGCAGGUGGAGGAGGUGCCCGGCUAGGGUGGCUGGUGGCUGGUGUGGGGACCCUAGGGUCCACUUGGCAAAGAGUGGGGGUGUGGCCAUCCGUGGAGGGAGACGCUGAGGUAGAAUUCAUGGCAGACCCUUCGUGGGAACAGACUGGGUCUGCUUAGGAGGACAUGUAAGCAGCUGUGUGAGGAUUUCCCAGAGUAAUUGUGUGUGUGUGUGUGUGUGUGUGUGUGUGUGUGUGUGUAAACGGUGGUAGGUGUUGGAGGAGGCCGAGACCCCACCAUAGCUGUUGGAGGAAGAGUCAAUGACACCCACAUCAUCACUGUCAAAAUAGCCCCAACCUUAAGUCCACGUGGGGUGGCCCAGGCAAACACAGGUCACACAUUUAUUAAUAAAAGGUAAUGUUCCCCUUCCUACUGAAAACUGUUUCUCUCUCUCGUCAACACGUGAGGUGGAAGCUGCUUUUGAACUUCACGAGACCUUUCCUUUCUUCCCUACGGGUGUGGAGCUUGAUUUUAUUAAUGUUUUCUCCUCCGGGCUGAGUGCAGUGACCCUCUCUCAAGGAGGGGCUUGGAGGAACCCUCCUUCCCUUAAUCCCUGUCCCUGGCUGGGUCAUCGCAGGGCUUUCUAGCACCCUGCAUGGUGUAUACCAUGGGCACCCUGGCCCCACCCCUCGUCCCCACUCUGUCCCAACUCUAUAUUCCCCAGUGUCCAAUUCCCCCUGGGCUUCUUCCUGCCUUUGUCCCUGCUCUGUCCUCUAAGGCAGUAGUUCUCAAAUGGGAGGGGGGGGGGAGGAUUGCCUCCCAAGGGCCAUGCGAUGAUUUUCAGACACAGCUUAGGUUGUCACAACUUGCUGGGGGUGGGGUCCUACUGGCUGUAGUGGGUAGAAAUAGGUGUCAUGGACUGAAUGUGUGUGUCUCUCCCAGAUUCAUUGGGAUUAUGGUUGAAACCCUAAAGCCCAAUGUGACAGUGUGAUGGUAUUUGCAGGUAGGGCCUUUGGGAGGUAAUGAGGUCACGAGGGUGGGGCCCUCAUGAUGAGAUUAGUGCUUUAUGAGAAGAGCUGCAGAGAUCUUGCCUCUGCCUUGUGAGGAUAGUAAGUGUAUGUUAACUAUACUGGAAUUUAAAGAAAAAACUCAAUAAUAAUAAUAAUAAUAAUAAUAAUAAUAAAGAUACAGCAAAACAGUGGCCAUGGGCAAGCCAGGAAGAGGACUCUCCUAGAACCCACCCUGCUGGCGCUCUGAUGGCAGACUUCCAGCUUCCAGAACUCUGAGAAAAAUUUCUAUAGCUUGAGCCACCCAGCUGGAGUAUUUUCGUCCUUGCAGCCCGGAGCUAAGACACCAGGGAUACCGCUAAGCAUCCUGUGGUGCACAGAACAGCCUCCCACAACAAAGAAUUACCUAGUGCAAAAUGUUUCAAGUGUUGCUGCUGAGAAAGAAACUCUGCUCUGGGCUGCUUGAACUGUGUUUGCAAUCAGCAAACACCCCCCCCCCCCAACCUCUGCCCCAAGAACCACACCUCUCUGUCUUUAUCCCUGGGGCUGCAGGAGGUGGAAGCUCUUGUCCGACAAAAGUCCCUCCCAGAGCCUUCUCCCAUAUUGGUAUAAAUAAAAUCAGAAGGUCUCUUAACUUGCAGGGGUGAUCACAGGUGGAGGAGGCAUCUGGGUUGAACGGCAGGAAGGGUUAGCUCUGGAGGGAUCUGGAUUAACCCAGGAACUUGUAUUGUUUAUUUAUUCCAUUGAAAUGUACCAGCUGGGAGGGCAUGAGAUUCUUUUUUUUUUUUUAAUUAUUUUUUAAAGAUUUUAUUUGAAUCCAAGCUAGUUAACAUAUAGCGUAGUAAUGGUUUUAGGAGUAGGAUUUAGCGAUUCAUCACUUACAUGUAACACCCAGUGCUCAUCCCAGCAAGUGCCCUCCUUAAUGCCCAUCACCCAUCUAGCCCAUCCCCCCCCACCUCCCCUCCAUCACCCCUCAGUUUGUUCUUUGUAUUUAAGAGUCUCUUACGGUUUGUCUUCCUCUCUGUUUUCAUCUUAUUUUUCCUUCCCUUCCAUUAUGUUCAUCUGUUUUAUUUCUCAAACUCCACAGAUGAGUGAAAUCACACGAUAUUUACCUUUCUCUGACUGACUUAUUUUGCUUAGCAUAAUACACUUUAGUUCCAUCCACAUUGUUGCAAAUGGCAAGAUUUCAUUCUUUUUGAUCACUGAGUAGUAUUCCAUUGUGUAUGUAUACCACAUCUUCUUUAUUCGUUCGUCACUCGAUGGACAUUGCUCUUUCCAUGAUAGUGCUGCUAUCAACAUUGAGGUGCAUGUGCCCCUUCAAAUCACUAUUUUUGUAUCCUUUGGAUAAAUACCUAGUAGUGCAAUUGCUAGGUUGUAUUUCAAUUUUUUUAAAUAAUUUUUCUUUUUUCACGUAUGUAUUUUUAAGUUUAUUUAUUUAUUUAUUUUGAGAGAGAGAGAGAGAGAGAGAGGGAAAGAGCAAGCAGGAGAUGGGCAGAGAGAGAGAGAAUCCCAAGCAGGCUCCACACAGACAGUGAGGAGCCCACUGCAGGGCUUGAACUCAUGAACCAUGAGAUCAUGACCUAAGCCGAAAUCAAGAGUUAGAUGCUUGGGGCGCCUGGGUGGCGCAGUCGGUUGAGUGUCCGACUUCAGCCAGGUCAUGAUCUUGCGCUCCGUGAGGUCGAGCCCCGCGUCAGGCUCUGGGCUGAUGGCUCGGAGCCUGGAGCCUGUUUCCGAUUCUGUGUCUCCCUCUCUCUCUGCCCCUCCCCCGUUUAUGCUCUGUCUCUCUCUGUCCCAAAAAUAAAUGAACGUUGAAAAAAAAAAAAAAGAGUUAGAUGCUUAACUGAAUGAGCCACCCAGGCACCCCUAUUUUUAAUUUUUUGAGGAACCUCCAUAUUGUUUUCCAGAGUGGCUGCACCAGUUUGCAUUCCCACCAACAGUGCAAAAUGGUUCCCUUUUCUCCUCAUCCUCACCAACAUCUGUUAUUUCCGGAGUUGCUUGUUAAUUUUAGCCAUUCUGACAGGUUUCAGGGUGGUAUCUCAUUGUGGUUUUGAUUUGUAUCUCCAGGAUGAUGAGUGAUGUUAAGCAUCUUUUCAUGUGUCUGUUAGCGAUCUGGGUGUCUUUGGAAAAGUGUCUGUUCAUAUCUUUUGCCCAUUUCUUCACUGGAUUAUUUGUUUUUUUGGGUGUUGAGUUUGAUAAGUUCUUUAUAGAUUUUGGAUACUAACCCUUUACUUGAUAUGUCAUUUGCAAAUAUCUUCUCCCAUUCUUCAGACUGUCCUUUAGUUUUGCUGAUGGUUUUCUUCACCAUCAGAAGCUUUUUAUCUUGAUGAGUUCAUUUUUGCUUUUGUUUUCCUUGACUUGGGAGACAUGUCUAAUAAGAAGUUGCUGAGGCUGAGGUCAAAGAGGUUGCUGCUUGUUUUAUCCUCUAGGAUUUUGGUGGUUUCCUGUCUUACUUUUAGGUCUUUCAUCCAUUUUGAGUUUGUUUUUGUGUCUGGUGUAAGAAAGUGGUCCAGUUUUCUGCACGUUGCUGUCCAGUUUUCCCAGAACCAUUUGCUGAAGAGACCGUCUUUUUCCAUUGUAUAUUCUUUCCUGCUUUGUUGAAGAUUAGUUGGCCAUACAUUUGUAGGCCCAUUUCUGGGUUCUCUGUUCUGUUCCAUUGAUCUAUGUGUCUGUGUUUGUGCCAGUACCAUACUGUUUUGAUGAUUACAGCUUGAAUUGUGAUGCCUCCAGCUUUGGUUUUCUUUUUCUUUCUUUUUUUUUUUUUAUUUUUAUUUAUUUUUGAGAGAGAGAGAGUGAGUGAGGGAGACACAGAAUCCAAAGCAGGCUCCAGGCUCCGAGCUGUCAGCACAGAGCCCGACGCAGGGCUCGAACUCAUGAACCGUGAGAUCCUGACCUGAGCCGAAGUCGGAUGCCUAACCGACUGAGCCACCCAGGCGCCCCUGGUUUUCUUUUUUCAACAUUGCUUUGGCUAUUUGGGUGUCUUUUCUGUUUCCAAUCAAAUUUUAGGAUUGCUUGUUCUAGCUCUGUGAAGAAUACUGGUGUUAUUUGGAUAGAGAUUGCACUGAAUAUGUAGAUUGCUUUCGUAGUAUCGACAUUUUAACAGUAUUUGUUCUUCCAAUUCACUGAGCAUGGAAUAUUUUUCCAUUUUCUUGUGUGUCGUCUUCAAUUUCUUUCAUAAGCUUUCUAUAGUUUUCAGUGUAUAGAUUUUUCACCUCUUUGGUUAGGUUUAUUCCAAGGUAUUUUAUGGUUUUUGGCACAACUGUGAAUGGGAUCAAUUCCUUGAUUUCUCCUUCUGCUGCUUCAUUAUUGGUGUAUAGAAAUGCAACCUAUUUCUGUACAUUAAUUUUGUACCCUGUGACUUUGCUGAAUUCAUGGGUCAGUUCCAGCAGUUUUUUUGGUGGAGUCUUUCAGGUUUUCCACGUAUAGUAUCGUGUCGUCUGUGAAGCGUGGAAGUUUGACUUCUUUCUUGCCAGUUUGGAUCUCUUUUAUUUCUUUUUGUUGCCUGAUUGCUGAGGCAGGACUUCCAACACUAUGUUGAACAACAGUGGUGAGAGUGAACAUCCCUGUCGUGUUCCCGACCUUAGGGGAAAAGCCCUCAGUUUUUCCCCAUUGAGGACCCAUAUUAGCUGUGGGUCUUUCAUAGAUCUUGAGGUAUGUUGUCUCUAUCCCUACUUUCUUGAGGGUUUUUAUCAAGAAAGAUGCUGUAUUUUCUCAAAUGUAUUUUCUGCAUCUAUUGAAAAGAUCUGGGCAUAGGAUUCUUGCAAAUAAAGAGAUGAGAGAUGAAGGUUUAUGGGAGGUGAUGAUCUGAAGUCAGCGGUCAUUCACAAAGCUGUUGACCUUGCCCACCUGGGAUGAGCACCCAUUGGACCCUUUAAUCAACACUCAAGCCUCAUCCAGGGGCUGUGUGACAAAGCAUUUGGACAAUUAGCUGAGUUUUGAACCUCUUAACUUUUGUGGUUUUGGUGGCUGGGAACCAGAGUUCUAGUUACAGGAGUUAUUCUUUAAAUUCUAGGAGAUUUUUCCACGUAAUUUUUGGUUCGUGAUCUGGCACUCAUACAUGAGUGAAGCGUGCUUCCUGCUUUCCCUGCGUUGUCCACUUUGUGAACUCAGGCCAUCUCUCGAGCCACCUGCUCUGUGCCUGAUAUCUCUCACCCUCAUGGAGUUACCUCUUGUACCUACACAGCACCUUAAACAGCCCUCGACCAAGCUUUUACUACAGUCUGGUCAUGUGAAUAUAAUCCCAAUGUAAUUAAUGCAGCUAAUGUAAUUAUCCCACAGUGGAAGAUUCUGGAGGGUAGGGACCACAUGUUGUUUACUCAUCUUUGAGCCCUUGACACUGGCACUGUGUCUGACCCAAGAUCAGGCUUCAGGAAGUGUUUGCUGAGCUGAACUGAACUUCAAAAGAGUGAACUGUUUGCGUCCGUUUCACGGUUUAAAAUGGCAAACUUGGGUCACCGAAUGCAUCGUGCACAGAAGGAAGGCACUGCUGCAAGUUUAGCAGGGUGUGUUGGGAAGUCCCUGAGAGUGGCCGUCUCUCUUUUUCAAAGCAAUUACAGCUUCUAACAUGCUUUGCUCAGUAUCAAAAGGCUUGAGUAUUUCAAGAUGCAUUUUUGGAAUGCUGGGCGAGCCGUGGUGGAAACAUCAAGAAGCUAGGGUAUUUCUAGGAUGCGUGUGCUCUCUGGCAUUCUGCAGAUUUUGAAUUGGAGAAUAUGCAUUUUCUUUUAAGGAAAUGCAAUGAUACUAGUUGGAAGGCUAUACUUAAAUGUAUUGAACUAGACUGUGAAGAAGGACCUAGGCUUUGUAUAACCACCAAGUAAACCAGGUCAUUUAAAAAAAUGUUUAUUUAUUUUGAGAGAGAGAGAGAGAGAGAGAGAGAGAACAGGGGAGGGGCAGAGAGAGGGAGAGAGAGAGAGAGAGAGAGAGAGAGAGAGAGAAUCCCAAGCAGGCUCCAUGCUGCCAGCGCAGAGCCCGAUUCAGGGCUUGAACCUACGAACCAUGAGAUCAUGACCUGAGCUGCCACCAAGAGUUGGACGCUCAACCGACUGAGCCACCCUGGUGGCCCGUAAACCAGGUCGUUUAAAAGAGAAACCCGAGGACCGUCAUGAGAAUGCAAAUGAUUCCUAAUGAACAGGCAUGUUGCUUGUAAACUUACUGCUUAUUGUACCGCAUAGUCAAAAUGCUUCCUUACCUUCGUUGUACUGUGAGUGCGCUUAGUAGCCUCUGUUUACAUGAUCACAAAUCCUCAAUCAGGAGAGUGUUUGAAUUAAUACAGUUUUGUUUCAUUCACUGAUCUCACGAGUAUUCACUGAAUGCCUAUUAUGUUCCAGGCACCACGGAUAGCAAUGAACAAACCGAAUCCUUGCCCUCUUGGAACAUUCUAGUGAGGCCAGGCGUGAGGAUGGUUGGCAGAAAAGGAGGAAAUAUCUGCUAUGUAGAGCUGACAGAAACUGCUGAUGGAUUGGAUAUGUGGGGGAGGUGGCGAGAGAGGGAUCAAGGAUGACUCCUAAAUUUUUGGCCUGAACAACUGGCAGAAUGCCCCUGUCAUGUACUGAGCUGGGGGAAGCAGGGAGAAAUGGAUCUGGGAAAGGAAACCCCAAAGUUCAGACAUCGGGGGGGGGGAUGUCAGGGACGCAGAUGGUCGUGCAGAGGUCUGGUGUUCAGGGGAGCACUCUGGGCUGGAGAUACAAAUUGGGGGUCGCAUGGCUUUCUCAGGCUGGCUUAAAAUAACAGAAAUUUUUUGCCUCCCGGUUCUGGAGGCUGGAAGCCCAGAAUCAAAGUGUCGUCCGGGCCACGUGCCCUCGGAAGGUUCUAGGGAGGACUCUUUCCUUGCCUCUUCCUGGCUUCUGGUGGUUGCUGACAAGACUUGGCAUUCCUUGGUUUACAGCUGUACUAUUCCAUUUUUGCCUCUUCACACACAUGGCCAUCUUUCCUCUGUACGUGUCUGUGUCUCUUUGUCCAAAUUGCCCUCUUAGAAGAACCCCAGUUGUUGGAUGAGGGCCCACCCUAAACCAGGAGAGUAUGGGAUCUGGAGCAGUGCCUGGUUCAUGGGGAGAUGUAUUACAGAAACUCCGAGUAGGCAUUCAGCAACUUUUAUAGCCGAAUCCCCCAAGCACAGGUUCAUUCUUGCAGCUCUCCAUCUGUUUUCUCUUUCUCAACAGUAUUGGUCUGUAAUCAAUAGGAAAUAAAACAUUAAAAACCUCCCUCCCUCGCCACAGGUUGAGUAAGAUAGGAGCUGAGACUUCACCUUGGAUUUGGCAAGUGUGGGUGGUCUUGACCAUGGAGGUUUUGUUGGACUGAAGGGGAGGGAGCCCGAAUGGAAGAGGUUCGCCAAGAAUGGCGGGUGUGAGGGGCGCCUGCGUGGCCUUGAUUUUGGCUCAGGUCAGGAUCUCACAGUUCGUAAGAUGGAGCCCUGCUUCAGGCUGUGCACUGACAGCACGGAGCCUGCUUGGGAUUCUCUCUCUCCCCCUCUCUCUGUCCCUCCCCUGCUCUCUCUCUUUCUCUCUCAAAAAUAAAUAAAUAAACAUAAAAAUAAGAGAAUAGCAGGUGUGAAAGGAUUUGGUGAGUACGGAUAGAACUUUGCUCUGGAGCGCAGCGAAUCGGGUUGGCAGGAGGAGGGCAAAGUGGGAUCAAGGGAGAUAUUUCUUAUUCUUUUUUUUUUUUUUUUAAAUUUUUUUUUCAACGUUUAUUUAUUUUUGGGACAGAGAGAGACAGAGCAUGAACGGGGAAGGGGCAGAGAGAGAGGGAGACACAGAGUCGGAAACAGGCUCCAGGCUCUGAGCCAUCAGCCCAGAGCCCGACGCGGGGCUCGAACUCACGGACCACGAGAUCGUGACCUGGCUGAAGUCGGACGCUCAACCGACUGCGCCACCCAGGUGCCCCGAUAUUUCUUAUUCUUUAAGAUGAGGGAUCUCAGACCUCGUCUGCAUGCUCAGCAGAAGGGAGAGGGGGAUGAGGCAGAAGAGAGGGUGGUCAGGACUGGAGCCCGUAGGCUGGUGAGAGGAGAUGGCAUCCGGUGUCUCCUGGAGGGUGGGCUUCUGAUCGGAAGGAGCAGGGGGAGCACAUCUGGAUUUGGAGCGACUUCCCCAGUUUUAGCUGAAAGUCCCCUGUCCUGGGAAAGCUUUAAAACAGAAAGUUCCAUGUCCCAGGGCCACUCCCCUCUCCCGGUCCCAGGCAAACCAGGUCAGGUUUGAAGGGAGAGUUGGAUGCUGGGAGGCCAAGGGGCUUGUUGGAGGGAAGAUGAGGUAGUCUUUAAUCGUUGGCUUCUAUUUUCUGGGUGACAUAAGGGCUGAGAUCAUGAACUGAGAGCAAAGACAGGGAGGGAGGCUGGAAGGGAGAGGAAAAGUUGUAGGACAGCCAUCUUGGGAGGGGGGAAAGGGAGCUCGCUAAGAAAUAGAGUAGCAUUUCUGGGCAGUGCUGGGUGGCAACUUGUGAUCUGUGGUCACACACGUCACGUGAUAGCAGGCAGAGCGGCAGUGGGGUGUAUACACUGCAAAACUCCAAAUGGCUAACGUUCUGUCACAAGCGAUUUGUUGGAACACAGGACGCUAAUUGCGUUAUCCUGGAACAUGGUGGAAAGCGGUACGUCAGCAGAAACACGUUCCUGGUCUGUAGGACUUCCAGAUGAAAACAGAGCCGCAGCCAACUCUCCGGAGAGUAGAUUAGCAACACUUUCACUCAGACCUUUGAUUUCUUCCCAUAGGGGCUGUUCAUAAUUGUCGUGCAGACCCGGUCACAUUGUCCACACCCUUUGUAAGCACGGCACCCUUCCUCUCCUCUCCUGCCGAAACACCCCAGUGGCUUGCUCAUACCAGAUGCUUCUUUGCAAUUUGCCAUUACGAUGAUUUGCAGAAGCAACAGCUUAACACGAACGGAAAUCAAAAGUUACUGCCCGGCGUGAUUUCACCGAUCUUCGUGUUAAAGGAGUCCGGCCGGAUUGCCGGUUUUGGUUUGUUCUGUCUCUUCUUUUCAACGUUUAUUUAUUUUUGGGACAGAGAGAGACAGAGCAUGAACGGGGGAGGGGCAGAGAGAGAGGGAGACACAGAGUCGGAAACAGGCUCCAGGCUCUGAGCCAUCAGCCCAGAGCCCGACGCGGGGCUCGAACUCCCGGACCGCGAGAUCGUGACCUGGCUGAAGUCGGACGCUUAACCGACUGCGCCACCCAGGCGCCCCUGUUCUGUCUCUUCUUUUGGCGGAUUUUAGGCAUUUAAUCAACGUGGGUAAUUCAGAAAGUAGCAAAGCAUAAGGAUUUGGAGUUACAACGCCUGGAUUUGAGUUAUCCACGUACUGGAUUUUGGGCAGGUGACCUUGUGAAGCUCCUCUAACCUGCCAGCCUCAGGUUCGUCAUAAAAAUGUGGCGAAACCUACCUGCGCCAGCUGCUUCAUAAACUCUGUAAAGGAAAGUGUCGUGUGUCACGCAUAGGUUGGCUAUUGCUCUGAUUGUUUGCGGUGUGGUUCUGUGCCUUUCUUUGGUAGAUUUCAAUUCUGCAGCUUUAAUAAUAGGGACAGAGAAAACUGCCGAGCCCCUGGGCGUGGUGGCUAAGCUCCUGAUGACCGUCAGGAAGGAGGCGCUGGACUAGGGACCAGGGAUGAAGUGAGUGUAGAGUAGGGGUGGAGGGAGUGAGGCACGGGUGUGGGGUGGGGAUUGUGGCAAGAGGGAAACUUCUGGUUGUAAGAUACUGGGCGUGGAGUCCUUCCAGGCGUCGGUAAGCCCUAGGGGCCGCCUUAAAAUGGGAUUAUAGAAAUAAUGUCCCGGGUCCUCUGGUUCAGAAUGCAGGCUACGAUGAGGCCGGUUCGCAAAGACUUGUAUUUAAAAGUUUACAUGUCUGUCACUUAAAGUUUUCGCCUUCAGCUAUUCAGGAAAUUCUACUCUAUAAAGUGACUCAUUCAUUCCCUAAGGAUUCUGCACAGCCAGGGUUUUACUGGGUCAACCGCAGAGACAUCAAUUCCUGGAAGAUUGUUUCCAUUUUGUCAUGGACCAUAACUUGGAGGUAAUAUUUUUGAACACCCAAUUACGGAGAACUCGAAAUACUUUUUAGAAAUUAGCUCUUAAAUCCUUGGGUGCUGUCUCCUAUGACUAUGACAAGUAGAAAUGCUUUAUCAUCUCUAGAUUUGUUACUUUUUAUUUAAAAAUUAAAAAAAAUUUUUUUAAAUGUUUAUUUUUGAGAGAGAGAGAGAGAGGCAGAGUGUGAGCGGCGGAGGGGCAGAGAGAGAGAGAGACAGAAUCCAAAGCAGGCUCCAGGCUCUGAGCUGUCAGCACAGUGCCUGACACAGGGCUUGAACUCACAAGCUGUGAGAUCAUGACCUGAGCCGAAAUUAGAUGCUUAACCAACUGAACCACCCAGGUGCCCCUAAAAAUUUUUUUAAUGUUUAUUUAUUUAUUUUGAGAGAGAAAUAGAGAAAGAGAGUGAGCAUGAGCAGGGGAGGGGCAGAGAGAGAGAGAGAGAGAGAGAGAGAGAGAGAGAGAGGAAGAGAGAGAGAGAACCUCAAGCAGGCUCCGGACUCUGCUAUGUGCCUGAUGUGGGAUUCAAACUCACAAACCAUGAGAUCAUGACCUGAGCCAAAAUCGAGAGUCAGAUGCUUAAUCAACUGAGCCAGCCAGCCCCUAAAUUAGUUACUUUUAAUGUGCUUACAAAAGCAAGUUCACGUCCAAUUCUACCACCAUACAGACACCUCCCCUCCAGGAAAUCCAACUUACCUCCAGCUACCGAGGGGGUCCUUUGGUCUUCUUUCUUUGAUCUCAGCCUCUGUCUUCAAAAUCCCAUUAUUUUCAUCUCUCUGCUUUCCCAAGCUCAGGGCUUGGUCUCCUGCUCCUCUCUCACCAGCUACUAAAGAACUUUUUUCCCCUCUUUAAUUUUAUUUAUUUCCCCUCUUUAAUUUUAUCUAUCUAUCUAUCUAUCUAUCUAUCUAUCUAUUUUUAAAGUAAACUCUACCCCGGACAUGGGGCUCGAACUCAUAACCCAAAGAUCAAGAGUCACACACUCCACCAACCGAGCCAGCCAGAUGCACCCCUCCUUUAAUCUUUUUAAAAAGAUACCACAAAAAGCAAAUUCUUACGUUAUUUCAAAUAACUCAAAACCGUCUAUAGGUGUUUUUUGUUUGUUUGUUUUUUUGUUUCGUUUUGUUUUCUUCUGAGAGAGAAAUAGAGAACAAGAGGAGGAGGGGCAGAGAGAGGGAGAGACAAUCCCAAGCAGGCUCCAUGCUUUCAGUGCAGAGACGGAUGCAGGGCUCGAAUUCACAAACUGUGAGAUCGUGACCCGAGUCGAAGCCGAGAGUUGAACGCUUCAUCGACUGAGCCACCCAGAGCCCCAAAUAACUCAAAACUGCGUAACAUGAAAAGUAAAAGUCACCCCCACUGCUUUUCCAGAGUGGCCCCUACCCUCUCUGGGGAAACUCCCCAGGCUGAAGGCUUCGGGACUGUGUCCGUGGAUCCAGGGCUCCAAUUCUAGCCCUGGGAGCGCUGGUCCCUCCUUUCUGUUGGACAUUGUCAUGAGGGUCUCUCCUUUCAGACACAGCACAUCUUCAGAUUUGUUGGCGGGACCCCCUGUGGAUAGGAUUUAAGUGACCUGCAAGAGAGUUUUCCUGUGUGUAGCCCUGGGAAAUAUAUUUGAGCUCUGUGUUCCUCAGUUUCCUCAUCUGUAACUUGGGGAGUUAGGACACCAUGGGCCUCAAGCACUCUUUCCUCUAACUCAUCUCUGGGUCUAGCCUCCUCUUCCUCAAUUCAUAUUUCUUGUUUCUUUUCCUGCUGUUCUCUUUUUUUUUGUCCAGCAGAAGCACUGGUGUCGAGGUGCAGACAUCAAGACAUCAGAGAGCUAGGGUCACCUUUGGGCUGGCUAGCUGUGUGACCCUGGCAAUCAUGUGGCCUGUCUGGACCUGUUUUUUCAUGCAAGAAAUGAAGGACCAGGACUCUUUGAUCUCCAGGAGACUUUCCGGUUCUGACACCCCAUGAUUCUCCUGACCUCCUCCUACCUAGGGGUGACCCCUCUGAUCGUAAGGGAACCGUGAGCUCUGGGCAUUUGCUGCUUUCAGCACAGGGUGGUGAUAGUAAGUUUGGGGCAGGGGACAAACCAGGGAAGCUGGACCCUUCUCUAGAGUCCCUGAGUCAGCUCCUCAUGGUCUGACUUCAUUUUCUCAUUUGGAGUGUUGUGAAAUCCCAGAACAUCACCCACGCCCACUCUCAACCCUGAGUACAUUUGGGGCGCAUUCCAACACCAAGUAAGAGCCAUUUGGAGAUGAGCUUGGAAACCCCUGCUCCUUGUCCUUGUGUGUGACUUUGAAGGGGGGCUGGAAUGACUAGCCAUCCCGGCUUGCCCUGGACUGUCCCGCGUCCCAGGAACCCCCACAGGGCACACCGGGGACAGUCGGUUCCCCUACUGCUCUGCCCUGUCAGGGUCUGGCUCACUUCCUGAGCGGGGUAAGUAAAGGACCCAGCGGGGCAGGGAGACUCAGAAUCAGCCGGAACGCUUGGUGGAUGCAGAUUCCUGGGCCCCACUCUGGAGAGCCUCAUCCGGUAGAUCUGGGGCGGGGAACUGGGAAUUCGCAUUUAAAGGCUUCCAGGUGAUCUGGUGCAGGUGGGUCAGUACCGCACCUUGGGACACACACUGUGCUUGGGGUAAUGCGGGGAACAGGGUUGGCUCCUGCCCUCAUGUUGCUUGUAACAUGGGCAGAAGCCCCAGCAGGGAACUCGGCUCACGUGUGGUAGAAUAUAAUGGACACUGUAACAUGAGUAGCACGAGGACCAAGAUUCUUAUUCCUCCUCCCACCCUCCCAAGUAAUCCAGUGCUUACAAAGCUCGGCUUUGUUCAUUAAGAGGGUUGACUUGGCAUUUUUCGGCAGGGGGCCCGCAGGGAGUUUGAGUGAGUUGCCAGAGAUGACCGUUCCCUGCAGUUGAUGGCAGACUCUCCCGUCCCAGAACUACCCCUGCUCUGUCCGCUGCACCGCGUGACCCUCUGGCGAAAGCGCGAGGGGACCGCCUCUAAAGGGGACCAUCUCCACGGCCCACUGUGGCCCUGACCUUCCGGCAUGGAGGGCGGGUGAGGAAAAGCAGCCCCGUUCUUGUUCUUGGUAGGACAGCUGUCAUUUCUGUUGCUUACGAGCUGCCCCUUUUUCUAAGGUGAAUUGAUGAGCUAGAGUCCCCAAGGGCACUUAGUCAUGGGGAUGAUUUGAAGAGGACCCAAGAUGGCCUGGCCUGGAAAGGGCACGCUUAUUCUCUGGGUUCUGGUGGGUUCCCUCAGUCCCUGCUGCCACAGAACAAAAUGGCGGAGGCGUCCCUCAGAGGGAAGAGGAGCAGAGCGACAGCUCCACAGGCCUUCAGAUGAGGGACACGAGGUUCUUGGGGUCUUGGAAGGACAUGCCACCGCUGGGGCUCCAGGAAGGCCAGCGUCCACGGCAGCCUGGAGCUGUGGGGCCGAGUGUCACCACUGGCCAUGCUGACUCAUCGAGCUGGUCUGGGAGCUGGGCUGAGGGCGGCUGUCUUAGUCUGGGCGGCUAUGAGAGGAUAGUAUGGACUGGGUAGCUUAUUAGCCACAGAAAUGUAUUCUUUGUAGCUGUGGAAGCCUGAGGUCAGGGCGCCAGCACAGUUGGGUUCUGGCGAGAGCCCUCUUCUGGGUUGUAGCCUGCCCACUUCUCCCUGUGCCCUCACGCAUUGGAAAAAGGUGAGGGAAUUCUCGGAGGUCCCUUACAUAAGAGCGCUAAUUCCGUCACAAGGAUCCCACCCUCAUUACUAAUCACUUCCCAAAGGCCCCGCCUCCUAAUAUCAUCAUGCUGUGGUGGGGGGCAGGUAGGGUUUCAACAGAUGAAUUUGGGCGGGGGGGGGGGACACAAACAUUCAGUCCGUUGCAGCAUUCCUCCAGGGGCUGGUGGCCUGGGCAUCCCUAGUUGUGGGGUGUGAUGGCUGUGAGCGCCAGCUCUGGAGUCGCCCUCCUUGGGUUGAAUCCCAUAUCAGUCCGUCACUUAUCAGCUGGGAUGACCUUGGGGAAGUCAUUGACCUCUUUGGGGGGCAGUUUUCCUAUUUGUAAAAUGCAGUAAGGUUCCCUGUGCUGUUGAGAGGCUGGAAUGAGAGAAGCCUGCAAACGGCUUAGCGCAGUGCCUGACGCACAAUAAAAGCUAAGCUUUCUUGUAAUUAGUGACAGAAAGUGGCAAAGACCCGGAAUGAGGUCUGUUUUCAUUUGCUCAGGUUCCCAUAACCAAAUACCAUAGGUUGUAUGGUUUAAACAACAGAAAAUUAUCGUCUCACAGUUCUGGAGGCUGGAGGCCCAAGAUGUUGGUGUCGGCAGGUCUGAGUGCUUCUGAGCUCUCUUUCUUUGGCUCACCGAUGGCCGCCUUCCCGCCCCGUCCUCACACGGUCUUUCCUCCGUGCAUGUUCGUCCUUUGUGUCUCUUUGUGGGCGCAAGUUUCCUCCUCUUACGAAGACACGGGUCAGGCUGGAUUAGGGCCCACCCUAAUGGGCUUAUUGUAACUUAAUCACCUCUUUAAAGGCCUUGUCUCCAAAUAGAGUCACAUUUUGAGGUGAUGGGGAUUAGGGCUUCAACAUACAGAUUUAGGGACACAGUUCAGCCCAUAACAAGGGCCAGUCUCAGGGCCAGGAUAUCUGAGGGUCAGACACAAAAGGCCCCCUCUAGGGAGCCAGACGUGAGAGUGAGGCCCAAGCUUGUCUGGGGGCCCGCGCUGUGGUCGCCCAGACAACCCAUCCUAUCGGGCCAUGCUGCUAAGUGCAGCGUAUUUAGGCUUAUGGUGGAUGGCUGGGUUUGCCUGGGCUCCAGCCUGGCAGGUGUGGUUGAGGUCAGCUCCAUGGGUGGAGUGAGGAGGUGAGUGUGGGGAUAUGGAAGGGAGAGCAGACAGUGGCUCUCGAAGAAACAGGAAGAUCACAUCCUUGGGAAUUGGGAGACAAAACAAAGCCAAGGUUGGGGGCCCUGGGCCCCCGGCCCAGCUCUUUAGGGUCCAUAAGACUCUUGCUUGCUUUCAGUGGGGUCAGGAAACCCUUUUUUUUUUUUUUUUAAUUUUUUUUUUUUCAACGUUUAUUUAUUUUUGGGACAGAGAGAGACAGAGCAUGAACGGGGGAGGGGCAGAGAGAGAGGGAGACACAGAAUCGGAAACAGGCUCCAGGCUCUGAGCCAUCAGCCCAGAGCCCGACGCGGGGCUCGAACUCCCGGACCGCGAGAUCGUGACCUGGCUGAAGUCGGACGCUUAACCGACUGCGCCACCCAGGCGCCCCCAGGAAACCCUUUUAAUGAAGCCAAUGUGAUAAGUGCUCCAGUGUAGGCAUCCAUGCAUUUUCUUCUGAAGUGCAAAUUCGAGCUUCAGCAGAGAACCAGGUGUAGGUCUUCAACUUCUCGGAGCCUUUUUAAGGACAGGCCUGGAGCCCAGCAUGCGGGCAGGUGUCAGUCCACUAAAUUUCAACCCCAGGAUGAGCUUGUGAGGGUCACUUGUCAAGCCCCCACCUCUCCCCUCCCAUAUUUCUCUGCCACAAGGGUUCCCCCCCCCCCCCCCCGAGCUAUUUUGUGGACAUCCCCGUCAUCCUGGCAGAUCUGUCCCUGUGGAUCACGAAAGCCCGGAUUCCUGGACUCAGCAUCCCUUUGCCUGCCAUCGGGCUUUGAUUUUGGCCAGAGGCGCCCCCCCCCCUCCGCCCCCAGGAUGGAGCAGCGUGUUGCUGGAGCGAGGGUGGGCAGUUCCUGCUGUCACGACCAACAUCCCAGCUCCCUCACCUUGAUCUUGAGGCUGCUUUGGUUUCAGCCUCUUACGUCCUGUAUUAUUUAAAUGGCUUGGGUUUUGAUAGUCUCUCUGCUCAUAGUCGUCCUGAGCGGGCUGGAGGUUGAACAUGGCAUUCUUUCCAAACAUUUGGCUGCCUCGGAACUGACUUAGAGUUUCUGACCGUGCGCACGGCAGAGGGUAUUUGGAUGCAGUCUUCCUACAGAGAUGUGUUCCUGGGGCAGAGCUCCUGAAUCCAGUCUGGAAUUCAGACUGUAUCGCCUACUUAAAGGGUCUUCUCAAGCCACCCCCUCCUCUGGGGGAGCAGAGACACCCUGGAACACCAGCCUGUAACCUUCUUGGAAGGCAGCGGUGCGAUGCCACGUGCAAGUCCUGGGUUCGAAUCCCGGCUCUGCCGUUGAUGAGCGGGGUCUCCUGGGGUGUUUCUGAGUCUGUUUCUUUGUUCCUGACACACAUUAUGUGCUCAGAAAUCAUGGCUGAUUUUAUUUUUAUUAUUGUUAUCACCCGUUCAACGUCCUCAGCCCAAAUGGCAUUGAAUAUAGCGGUUUUCCCUGGAAGGAGGAUAAGUAACUGCCCUGGGGCCACGCUGGUCAUCAGGGAAGCUGAGUGACGAGCUGGACAGGAGCGAUAACAGCCAGCUCUGAGGCAUCACUUGAUGAAAGAGCGAUCUGAACCGUGGGAGAAAGUGGAGACAGGUGUAAUAUAUCUUAAGCACUCCUUCUGACAUGUCAGGAUAACGCUGUUCGCUCUUCUGGAUGCAGUACCUAGAUAUGGAUGGGGUUUGGAGACGGGAUGCUCCUGGGACAUCUGACUUUGUUUUGGGUCACUGACGGGCCUAGGGUUUUCCUACUAUUCUUGCAAAAUUUGCUGAAACCCCUUUUACGACUUCACACGUCCCAUCAUGUGAGCCCUGGGGAGAGCUCAGACUCCGGGGAUGGGGGUGGUCCAAGUCACCUGCUGUCUUUGAUCUCUGUCACCCCUCAGCGUGGGAAGUCUUAGGUGGAGGUCAAAUAGCACCACGGCAGGGACCGACUGUGAAGGCACUGGUGACCGCUCUGACACUGCCUGCCUGCCUUCCCCACCCUCCAAAUAAAAGCAGCUGGUAGGAAACGACAGGAAUCCAGCCGACCUCCCCAAUCCACCAUCACGUGGGAUCGGAGCCCCCUCUGGAACAGGCAUGGUAGGCAGAAGUGCAGGCUCCAAGGCGGGUUGCUUCCAAAUCCGGCUCCCCACCUUACAAGCCAUUCUUAAUUAAUCUCUGUUUCCCCCUCGCUAGAAAGGGGGACAAUAAAACCAUGCACAUCAUAGCACUGUCACACGGAUAAGAUGAGAGUAGAGGGGCGCCUGGGUGGCUCAGUUGGUUAAGCAUCUGACUUCGGCUCAGGUCACGAUCUCACAGUUCCUGAGUCCUAGCCCCACGUCAGGCUCUGUGCUGACAGCGUGGAGCCUACUUGGGAUCCUCUCUCUGUCUCUGCCUCUCCCCAUCUUGCGUGUGCAUGCACACUUUCUCUCUCUCUCAAAAUAAAUCAAUAUACUUAAAAAAAGAGAGAUGAGAUUAUAAAUGUGAAAUACUGGGCAAGUAGGAAGAAAUGUUAUCUGUUACUGUUCUCACUCUCUUUGGGGUGGGAUUUGCGAUCUGCCCACAGCUAUCCUAUGAGGUGAUGAUGAUUAUUAUUUUUGAGACUAAAGGCUUUUAGUCUUCUAGAGAGCCUUAUUUUUUUUAAGUUUAUUUAUUUUGAGAGAGAGAGAGAGAGCUCAAGUUGUGAGGGGGGAACAGAGAGAGAGAGAGAGAGAGAGAGGGAGAGAGAGAAUCCCAAGCAGGCUCUGCACCUGUUAGUACAGACCCUGACUUGGGGCUCGAACUCAGGAACCUCGAGAUCAUGACCUGAGCUGAAGUUAGAUGCUUAACUGACUGAACCACCCAAGUGCCCCUAGAGCCUUAUUUUUUUUUUUUUAAGAUUUUAUUUCUAAGUAAGCUCUACACCCAACGUGGGGCUGGAACUCACAACCCUGAGAUCAAAAGCUGUACAGUCCCCCAACUGAGCCAGCCAGGCAUCCCCUAGAGAGUCUUAUAAAUAAGCAACUGUUCUAAGCCAUCUAGCAACUGUGCUGCCAGGUGGCUGGCUGGGCAAGGACCUGGGGUGGGCCCAGGGUGAGGGUCUGGGGCUGUGGAGGGCCCUGGAAGAGACAGUGGACCAGAGAACAACCUUUCUCUGACCCGACAUGUUGCCCUGGGCUGUGUUCCCCAAACCACGCAAGUUAUUUAAACCGAAGUCUCGCCCCCAGGAUUGUCUCGCCUCCAGGAUUGUUCUGAGUUUCGGGGGAGGAGAGAUGGGUUGAGACCCGUCCUUAGAACACGGAGGUGGUAGCGCUGGCCCACAGCUAGAAGGGCUGGCUGAGAUGUUGGCUCUUCCUGGAAUCCCGAACUGACCUCUCCACCAACCUUCCCCAUGACUGAUUUUUGGAAAUGUGAUGAGCUUUUGAUAUUUACUUCAGUCACUGUCGCCGGGUGGCCGCUGCUGCGCUAAGCACCCGGAACGCAAAUAGGGGAGAGGUGUCCCAGUCUGUAAGUCCAGUGAGCCUAGCUAGGGCUGGCUGGCGGUUCUGGGCCUCUCUGCUGACAACUUCCGGUCUCCUCCCUGGUGGACAAGGGCGAGGAGGGUGCUCUGCUCGUGCGGACGGCAAGGCGCGCGAGGCGUAACAACGUGGUGCCUUCAGGAAAUGGGUGGCCCCAGAUGGGAGGAGUGGGUGGCGUGGGUGGGCCAGGGAGUCCUAAUCUUUGGGGAGGUGGGAGCCACUGGAGGUGCUAAUACGGGGAAAUGACAGGAGCUGGCUUUUGGUUUUCUUAUAAUUACAACAGCCAUCACAACGAUCGGUAUUGAGCACUGUCUUGGGAUGGGCAUCAACUAAGUGCUUUGCCAAAUUCUCUCGUUUAAGCCCCCUUUGCAGACGAGGCUGGGAGGGUCCACAAAGCCCAGUCACGUAGCAGCAGACAAACCCAGGUCUGUCCAACACCAAAGGCCUUGCUAUUAACUGCUCCUCAACCUUCCUGAACCUCAGAGUCCUCCUCUAUAAUACCUCCCUCACAGGGUUGUCUUCGUAACUUGGGGAGGAUGGUUGGCACUUGCCACAGUGCCUGGCAUGUUGUAAGUGCUCAGUAAAUGUUGGUCACUCUUGUUUUUGUUAUUGUUGUUAUUAUCUGUUGCAGAGAGUGGCCGCGGGCAUGCCAGGUGCUGGGUGGUACCUUUGAGUUGGAAACCACAUGGGCUGGCGUGAGUAAACUGAGCUAAUAAAGCCACUCCUUCCAGAGCAGGGUGCUGACCGGGGUUCAAGGCCGCAGUCUGCCUGCACCCACCCCCGUUGCUGUGGUUACCGACCUGGGCAUCUCGUUCUCUCUGUCGCGGGUGCCUCUCCAGCUCAGGUCCGGGUGACCCUGUUCCCACCCGGGAUCGUUCCACGACUGCUUCUCUGAGGCUUUCUGCUACACCCUCUGGUUUCAGUUUUGCUACAGCUGAGCAGGGACCGACCCCACGGGUGGCAGAAUGGUGGAUGCAUGGGAGGGACCACCGUCCAGGGGGCUGGUGAAAAUCUCCAGGGGAGAUGAGGUGAAGGCCAGAAGGCCACAGCCAUGGGAAUGGAAGGCAGUUGGGGAAUAUUUUGGGUUUCAACUGAUAAGAUGAUGAGGAGAAGACAAAGGGAGAUGGAAAGAUAAAGGCUGUCUCUCACUUAAAUGGCCAUUGUAUUCCCUUUUCACGCUGUGCUGGGUGGAUCUCAUCCAUCCCCGUGGCUUUACAUGCGUUUCUAGGCUGACAAUCUCCAAAUUCCCAAUUCCCUGAGUUCCAGCCUGGAGUACUUAGAUGUCUCUUGCUCUCUUCACUUGGGUGGCUCUCAGGCAUUUCAAACACAACAUCUCCAAAACAGAACUCCAAAAACGAUCUGCCUGCCUCACCCGCGAACCUGCUUCCCAUCUCCCUCAAUGGUACGACUCUCCCCUGUGUUCAAGCUAGAAAAUAUGGGGAUCAUCCUUGGUGUCUCCCCCUUUCUUCACCCCUCGGAGCCCCCUCAGCAGCUAGUCCCAUAAUUUCUACCUGGGGGAUACAUCACAAGGGAAGCACAUCCCCUCUCUCCAUCUGCACUGCCGCCAUCUUGGGCCAGGCCACCCCCAUCUCUCAACGGGGUGACUGUGAGUCCACACUGCCUCCCCUCUUCCACUCUGGCUCCAAAUUCCAGCCUCAGUGAUCUUUAAGGAACACAAAUUCCAUGGUUAAUCAUCUUACCUGAUGACUUCCAACUGCACUUAGCAGAACAGCCAGCACCUUCCCAAGGCUUACUGGGUUCUGCAAGGAUCUCAGCUUCAUUGGACUCCCCUCCCCUUCACUCACUUCUCUAUCUCUCUCUCUCUUUUUAAGUUUAUUUAUUGAGAGAGAGAGAGAGAGAGAGAGAGAGAGAGAGAGAAUCCCAAACAGGCUCUGAGCUGUCAGCGUGGAGCCUGAUACAGGGCUCAAAGUCACAAACCAUGAGAUCAUGACCUGAGCCGAAAUCAAGAGUCAGGCACUCAACCGACUGAGCCGCCCAGGCACCCCCAUAACUUAUAACUUUCUAUUUGUUCAUUGUGUUUAUUGGUUGUGUCCGCUGCUAGAGUGUCAAAUCUAGGAGGCCAGCCAAGCACAUAGAAGUUGCCAGUGGGUAUUUGUGGAGUUAGUGAACAGGUAGAUGAAGAGGGCACACCCACCCAGGAGCAUGGCCCUCCAUGGAUAUGGAGGACAGGGACAUUCAAGGGGUGGGCAGAGGGCCUGCCAAGGAGUCAAGGAGACUUGAGAAUGAGAGCCAGGAGGGAAAUGCCAAUAACCAAGAAAAGAGUGACAACUCGGCUGGGGAUCCUUUUGGCCGCAGGUAACGGCAAACGUGUCCAGUGGUAUAGACACAGAUGAACUUUUUCAUAGUCGGAACGUUCAGCGGCCAAGCUCUGGGCCGGUGUUGCUGAGGUGUUCCUGGCCUUCCGUCAGCCUCCAGCAUCACAUCCUCACACAACUGAGUUCAAAGACAGGAAACAAGGAGCAGCAUGGGACAGACAUCUUCUGUCUUAUUGUUGUACAUGUCUCUCUCUUACUGGUGGGGGUGGCGGAGGGGCUGUCCCCAGAAGAUCCCAACCGACGUCCCUCUAUAUUCCACUGGUCAGAAAGGAUGCAUGCCUGCCUGCCCUUGGACCAGGGCCGGUGCCCAUCUUGCUGAAAUAAAAGAACCUCUUUCCUGUCCUUGAACAAAGUUGGGCUCGUGCCAGCUAAGGAGAAGGGGAAUGGCUUUUGAGAAAACAAUGCAAAGUGCUUGCCCUAAGCACAUUUCACAAGGAGGAGUUUUUUCUGUUGGUGUAACUGACGUAGGGAGGUCAGAUAGGAUGGGUAUUGAGCAGUGGCUGCUGGAGUUGAUGCUUAAAGACUAUGUGUGGCCCUUGAGAGAGCAACUCCCACUGGUUUGGGCUGCCCUCUGUGGGGGCUUAGGAAUUAGCGGGAGAAGUUGCGGAGAGCAAGGUAGACCACCAGGAAGUUUGGUGUUAAAGGUAAGAGGAAGGAUGGGAUGGUCUCUGGCCACAGGAGGCAGACACAAGGAGGUUUUUCCAGUUUGGGGCAAACUUGAAGAUGUUUAUUAGAUGAGCCAAGGAAGCCAGUGGGAGAGAGGGGGAAGCAAGAUGGCGUAGUUGAUGCCCUUGUCCCCGAAAGAGGCACAGGGAUGGGGUCAAGUGCACAAGAGGCGGUGGCUGUUACUGGGCAGAGCAGAGAGGCUUUUCUGGAGACUCAGAUGCCUUCUGAGAUGGGAGAAGGGUGGCAGGAUGGUGAAGAUGCCCAGGAGGGAUGAAGAUUCCCUUCACUCUCCUUUGUGGGACAAUGGGUUCAUUCAGAGAGUGAACCUGUGAACUUGACCUUUCCAGCACUUUUGUUUUAACAAUCGGAUAUAACAGACUAAACAAAAACAAAAACAACCUCCACCCCCAAAACCCAAUCCAUUUGUGUGGUCCUCCACUGGGAAGUCCAAGGACAAAGCCUGAUCCUUGGGUUUUCUUGUUCAGACAGCCUCACAGCACACGGUCAGGGGAGUGGUCAUUCCAUCAUGCCGUCCAGAGACUGCAGGUCACUUAACAGACCACGAGGAGCUUCCAGAUCCUGCAGCCGAUGGGCAGCAGGGUGGAGGGGGUGGGGCACACGGAGUAGGGCACAGAGGACUUGGGUCCCAGGUCCAGGUGUACCACUUACAAGCUGGGGUUCACUCGUGUCCUCCAAGCCUGCAACCCCAUAUCUGCAGAGGGUUGGAGGGUGACAGCUCGUCUUCUCCCUCCUCUGCCCGCAGGUUUACAACGCGCAUGCUCCUUACAGGGAAUUAGGGGAAUGCCUUCCUGCCCCCUCCACCAGCCCUCGCUGGGGAGUUUUGACUCUGCUCAGUCCCCGUUGGAACAGGACGGUGUUUUCUUUCACCACUCACCCUGGUCCCUCACUGCUGGCAUCUUUUCCCCUUUGUUUUUGGGAAUGAUGGCAGAGGGCCCAGCUAGGACGAUUGAGAGCCAAACCUUUCUCCUCUAUUUAUCCUCAUGGUAGCCAUGGAGGCAGCAAAAAGCAAGCAGAAGUUUGACUAGAUAUAUGAGCUCAAUAUUCCACAACAUUUGAAGCUGGUGCCUACUUACGUAGGAGGCAUAAAACACAACAGUAUGUUAAAAUGAAGAGUAGCCCCAACAGGGGGGAGGAAAAAAAGUGCAUUUAAAAAAAAAAAAAUUUUUUUUUUCAACGUUUAUUUAUUUUUGGGACAGAGAGAGACAGAGCAUGAACGGGGGAGGGGCAGAGAGAGAGGGAGACACAGAAUCGGAAACAGGCUCCAGGCUCUGAGCCAUCAGCCCAGAGCCCGACGCGGGGCUCGAACCCACGGACCGCGAGAUCGUGACCUGGCUGAAGUCGGACGCUUAACCGACUGCGCCACCCAGGCGCCCCAAAAAAGUGCAUUUUUAAGAAAAAAUUCUCAGCGGGAACAUUCAGAUGCUAAGUUGGUAAGAUUGACAUUGGCUCUGCAUGUCUCCCCUUCGACAGCGCGUUAGUGUCCGUCCCCAUGGUGUCCUGUGUCUCGGGGUGCAAGUUCUGAAGGGGACACAUCUUCUCUCGGGUCACUCUUUUUAUCUGACACGUGGGGGUGACUCCAGGAGGGCUCUGCGCAUGUCUCAUGGUGUCAUAGGGGAGGCUGAUGUUCGUAAGAAGCGCGGAGCGGGAUCAUUUUAGUCCCGUCAAAACUGCCCCAGUCAGAUCAGUCCUGCCCGGCGCUCGGUCGCCUGGACCCCCCUUCGUCACGACUAAAAUGUGACUAGCGGUAGCGUCUCCCUCGUGGGGUGGCUGUGGGGGUUCCAUGAGUCUACACCUGUGAAACGUCUAGGAAAGCACCCAGAGGGUAUUGGUUAGUCAACCGACAAACACAGAGUGCCCGUAGCUUGUCGGCUGUGCCUCGUGGGAAGGAAGCCCCAGAGGGCGGCUCUGUGUCUAGGAAUCAGCAUCUAGCUGGAGAAAGAACACGGACCUGGUGGGGAUCAGUAGACAACCAGCGCAGCCUCCAAGCCCUGCCUUUCCCCGCGGCCUGGACGUCCUGGAGGGCCAGCAACUGCUGGGUGGGGUGUGCUGUCGGCCCAGCCCUGCUUACUCUCCUGGCAGCCAAAGCCAGGAGAAAGGAGAAUCUGGUAUUCAUUGUGUGGUUGUUUCUAAUUUCCUUCUGCUUUCGAGAUCCUCUUCUGACGGAGAACAAUGCCCUGAACAAGGCUCCGGCUUCCUUGGCCAGGCACCCGCCCUGCUGUGGGGGAGGCGGCGCCCAAGAGAAUGCGAUGGCGGGCACUCCAAGGGCAGAGGGCCUUUGACUCCUGUCCUCUGACAGUGCUGGGGAUGGCGAAUCCCAGCCUCUUGUUUGCUGUUAGAUCCCUGGGGCUUUGAGCGAGUCCUCUGCCCUCCCCUAGACACCCCCCCCCCCCCCCCCUCCUUUAUGAGUAUUGUUUUUAAACUGUCCCUAUUUGCCAAGGAAGGACAGUCCUCCCUGUAUCACCUUCCGGGGCCACCAGGCUGGGCCAUGUACCCCAGCAGGAGGGGGUGGUGUUGGGUCCUUGACAGCAUUGCCCUGGCCAGGGCCAGCUCACAGCCUGGCACCUGGGAGGGAUCCUCAGCAGAGGGUCCUGGGUGGACAUUCCCCCCCCCCGGCCAGUGAUGUGCAAAUUUUGUGGAGGCAGAAGACCCAGGACUGGGUCCAAAGAAAGGGUGGGGUUUCCUCAUUCCUUUCUGUCUUCAUACUUGGCCUCUUGUUUGUGGGUCUCAGUACGUUUAUCGGCCUCACCGGGUUUCUCCGGAAAGUGGAGAGAACCCAGAAGUGAGUGACCUUCAUGUGGAAUGGGGCCAGAGGAGGCCGGAGGGCUGACUAGGUUCUCCCAAUCCGCAGGGCUUUACUGCGGGAGGUGCUGUGGGGGCGGCAGGUGGGAAUCGGAGGCACAAGGGCUCCAGCAGCGAGGUCGCCUCUGAGCUGGGACCAGACCGGGUGGGUCGCCCAUGCUUAAGUCCAUCCGGUGCCCCCGUCACCCUCGCUGCACAUCCACAUGCCCUCCGUGCCCUGUUCAUUUCAUCAUCCUCUUGAAGUAGAUUUAUUCAAAAAAAAAAAAAAAGAUCCUCACAUUUAAUUAAAAAGAAAUCUUUGUCACUACCAUAAAUGCAAUCCGACAAAAUGUCUAGUAAUUGUCGACACAAGUUCGUAGCGGUGAAAAUGCAAACAUUCAUCACGGAGCUGCUAAAAUCUUGGGCUUUGUGUAUGUUCCUGGUGGUCUCCGUGGGUGUCUGGUGGUGAUGUUGGGGGUGAGCUUGACGUUGGCAAGAUGUAAUGAGUGGGGUGAUUCGUGCCGACUGGUGACCCCACCAAAGACGUUUCGGGAAGGCCUCCCUGCUGCUCGACCAGAGGCCCCCCGGGCAACGUGUCAGCAUCUUCAACGUGGGGGACACGCAGUGUCUCCCUCAGAGGCUGGGCGAGGUUGGACUGAAUUCAUCUAAGGUGGUGUGAACAGUGCCUAGUGCAUAGUAAGCGCUCAGUUAAGUGCUAACAGCCGCCAUAACUUGGGAGAUCCCAGCUGAGGGCUGCCCUGGGUGGGGGGGGGGGGUCCCCUCAGCCGCAGGCUUGGCGACAGGGGCGGGGACAGACGUGAUCUCCAGGCCCCUCCCGCUCUCCACCCAUCUCUCUUGCUCUCCAACUCCCCCGUUGGAACAGGUGCGGCCAGGCGGGAUGCCCAUCAGUUCCCUCACGAUUAGAGAAUUAAAACGAAGAUGUGGUCAUGGCAUGAGUCAUCGCGAAACUCCCCUGUUGGGAUGGGUGGUCGUCUGUGGCCCCUGGAGGCUCCGGAAUGGACUCUCAGGGAGACCGCUGGUGUGCACACGCUGGGGGCUUGUCGGCUCUGCGUCUGCUGCUGUGUCUGAGCAGCCCUGGUUGUUUCUGGAAUGGGAUGUGUGGCUUGGAGGGAGAAAGUUGCUGUGGGAAGCAGUCCCAGGUUCCCUGGUGGGACUGGAAAUUCUGCCUCAAGCCCUGGAAUUUGGACUUCCUGUUUGGCCUGGCUUUGUUCCCCCACAUAUUUGGCUCUGGCACAUCCUCUCCCUCCCCUCUCGGGAUCCGUUUCCUCAUCUGUAAAAUGAGGGGGUUGCACUAGAUCGUAUCUAAGGCUCCUUUAAGCUUGAAAAAGCUAUGAUUUGCCUCCCACUCCCUCACUGUUCCCUCGGGCCUCUUGAUUGACAGAAGGAAGGUGGGAAGGAAACAGGAGGAACCAGAAGAGCCAGGGAGCUGCGUGAGGGGAGGAAGGGGCGAAGGGAGGAAAAAGCAAAGGUGUCAUAGUAAGUGCCCUAGAGAUGGCAGGUGGCUAGGCAAAUAAAUGACGAUAAAAGGGCAAAUCCGGGGAGAAAAGAACACGCUCAGGGGAAGGGUUUAUAAAGAGGGACCGCGAGAGUUGCUAGGAUGGGAAGACUGUGUUGCAAAGUGAUCACAGCUCGGGUUGUGGGAGUAGGCUGCCGGCUGGAGAGUGUCAACAGGGUUGGGGGGACAGAUGGCCUCCCUUCUCCUUUCCAGGUCAUUUUGCAAGAUGCCCCUUCCCCUCAUUAGGGGUGCCUCCUCUGGAAUCACAGCAAUGCAGUCAGUGCGUAAUGGCGUCUGUGGAUGCUCUAAGGCGGCCUUAGGAUAACGGGCUAGAUGGCCCAAAGACAGGUGGACAUUAUCCUGUGAGUAAUGACACGUGAGCCAGUCAUGGUGAGUUUUUCCAUGCGACCUGUGCUCCUUAUUGAAAUAGCAGCCAAUUGGUUGUCUCCAAGUCUAGAGGAAGAUACUUAGAAAGCGAGAGUAAAAGAAAUUAACAUAGAGAGGAUGUCUUCAUGACCUUGGGGUGGGCAAAGAUGUCUAAAACAGAACACCCAGAGCACUAACCACAGAAGAAAACUGAUAGCAUUUUAUGAAAAAUUACCACCUCUCUUCGUCAAGAAGUACUAUUAAAAACAUGGAAAGGCAGGAUGCCUGGGUGGCUCAGUCGGUUCAGCAUCCGACUCUUGGCUUUGGCUCAGGUUGUGAUCUCCCAGUUCGUGGGAUCGAGCCCCGAGUCCGGCUCCGGACUGAGCAUGGAGCCUGCUUAAGAUUCUCUCUCUCCCUGUUUCUCUGCCCCUGCCCCCCGCCCGUGUUCUCUCUCUCGCUCUCUUUCUCAAAAUAAAUAAACAAACCGUAAAAAAAAAAAAAAAAAUCAUGAAAAGGCGAGCCUCAGACCCGGAAGAAGAAAUCUGUAACACAUAUAUCCAACCAAGUAUUUGUUUUCAGGAUAUAUAUAGAACAACUGUAAAUCAGUAAGAAAAAGACAAUGACCCCAUAAAAAUUGGACAAGAGGCUUAACAGACACUCAUAAGAUAGUCUAUCCAGGUGACCAAACAAACUAUAAAAAGGUAAGCAACAUCAUUCAUUACUUAUGGGGAAAAUGCGCAUCAAAACCACAAGGAAAUAUCACCACACACCCACCAGGAUGGCUAAAAAGAAAAGAGUGACAAUACCAGGUGUGACUGAAAUGCGGAGCCAUUGGAACUAUGACACCUUGCUGUGGGGGAGUGUUGAAAGGCACAAUCACGGAGGAAAAGUGUUUGGUAGAUUCUGUUCCAGCUAACAAUAUGUCUGUUCCAUAACUCAGUCAUGCCCCUCCUGGGUACAUGUAUCCAAGACAUAGGAUGACACAGAGAUGUGAUGGACAAAAAUGUUCAAAGUCACGGUCUCCAGACUCGAAACACCCCACAUUCCCAUCAACUAGAGAUUGAAGCAAUAAAUGGUGAUAGAUUCAUACAGUAGAGUAUACACCACAGUGAGAGAGAUUAUGUGUUACAGGAUCAUUGAUAUGAAGGUCAAGAAGAGGCGAAGCUAAAACAUGAAGAGUAAACUCAUAGUUAUAUAUCUGGUGGAGGUAUGGACUGAGAAGGUGCAUGAGAGAACCUUGUGCAGCGCUAGAAAUAUUCUAGGCCGGACCGGGGUGGUCUUAUAUGAGUGCAUAUGCAUGUAAAUGAUUAUCGCGCUGUCCCUUUAAGAUGAACGCAUUUUAUUUUAUUUUACUAUUGUAUUUAUGUUUUCAUUUUAAUUCCAGUUAACGUAUAUAUACGUAUAACGUAUACGUAUAACAUAGUGUUAUAUUAGUGGCAGGUAUGGAAUAGUGUAUGUAAUUCAACACUUCCGUACAUCACCCUGUGCUCAUCACAAGUGCAUUCCUCAUGCCGUCUCCUGUAUUUGUGUUAUACUUCGAUUUAAAUAAAUGAAAAGGACGACCUGGGUGGCUCAGUCGGUUGAGCGAGCGUCCAACUCUUGAUUUCGGCUCAGGUCAUGAUCUCACGGUUGUGGGGUUGAGCCCUGGAGUCGGGCUCCCGGCUGAGCCUGGGGCCUGCUUGAGAUUCUCUCUUUCCUUUUCUCUCUCUGCCCCUGCCCCCUGCUUGUGUGCACGUGCGCUUGUUCCCUUUCUCUAAAGAACAAAACAAAAUGAAACAUUGAAUGGGGAAACUUCCCAUGAAUUUAUUCUAGUUGGGAGACGACCUGUGGUUUCCCAUUCACCUGCUCAUCCUAACUGUUCUGGGUUGUAAGUUCUCUGAGAAGGAAAUACUGAGCAUUGGCCACAGCAGUGAAUAUCGUGAGCCAAGCCUGGGCCCCAUCCCUGCUCCUCUGAAAUUGGGAGGCUCUCGGGAAGUUAUUUAACUUCUCAAAGCCUUUGUUUCCUUGUCUGUGAAAAGGGGACUGUGGUACUUACCUUACAGUUUCAUCGCGAGGGUUGAAUGAGGUCAUACCUAAGAAGCACUCAGCUCAGCACCCGGGUCAUAGCAAGUGCUCAGUAAAGGACUGGGUAGAAAUGGCAAAGCCAACACUGAACUGAUUCUACCUAGGUCUCUUAAAGAGGCUCAGCACCUUUCUCCUCGAAACGAUUUAGCACACGUUUGAAAAAAAGUUACACUAAUGUUAUCUCCACAAAGUAGAGCCAUUUUGUGGAUGGGGCGGAAUCUCAGUGCUUCAGUAAGGUGUGGGGGAGGGAGGUCAUUUUCAGCUGGACGGGGCAGAGAGAGGUGUUAAAGCUGGUGGGACUGUCAGCAAUGGGUAAGAUUUUUGUCACAGAGAGAGGACCAGGAAGGUCAUUCAAGUUUGGGGGUUGGGGGAGGGAGGUGGUACCCGGAGGGCAACGGUGGAGUCUGGGAAUGGUGAGUGGGCCAUUUUGAGAUGGCGCCUAAGAUUUAUGGAGGGACAAGUGGAAGAUGAGGUUGGAAAGGAAGACUGGCUCAGAUGAGGUUCCCCCCUGCCAAGGAACCCAGACGUUUUCUACAGGAAGAGGAGUCGCUGACCAUUGCUGAGCAGGGAAGGUACAAGAUGAAGCCGGGAUGUGCAGACCCACAGGGGAGGUCAAAGUGACUGGGCCAGGAGGCCAUUGAGGAGGGGAAGCAUGCAGGUUCAGGUGGGAAGGAGUUAUAUGUGAUCUGGGCAGAAGCAGCGGGAUGGAAAUGAAAGGGUAGGUAGAUGGGGAGGAGCGGGGAUGGACUCCUGAAGUCUUGGAGCCAAUUUCUUGAGUAUAUGAAGCAGAGAGAAGGUCGGUGCGGGGAUGCCAAUGAAAGGGAUUUCUCAACGGUUCCACCAACCGGGGGGGGAGGGGGGAUGCAUCUCAUCCCUUCCCGGGCCCUCACCUUCAAAGUGUGCUAUUUGCACGUCCCCAAGAACACACUGCCCUCUUCCGGGUUCAGGCUUAGUACGGGACACCCAAAGAACGGACACAGCCUUUCUACAAACUUCCUUUCCACCCUCGCCGCCUGGGAACCACACGGAGGGAGGUGUGUCAAGAGCAAAACUGAGCCAACAGCAGAACCGGUUCCCAGUAUACUCUGCCGAGGGGUCGGAAGGGUCUUUCGGCAGCCUGCGCAAAGCUAAGGAACGGCCUCCUGAUUUUAUGGAGAGACGCAAACCGUGUUUGGAAUAAAUAUCCCUUUGUUAUUGUUGUUUUACAGGGCUGUAGCAGUGGCCAGGAAGAAAACCGCCCCCUCUGAAAGUUGUUUUGGUGACUGUUCUUUGGAGCAUUGUUCUAAAAAUGGGAAAUUACAUAUUGCCAUGCCAAAGGAAACAAACACCUGCAAUUAAAGGAAUACCUACCACGAGGUGGCUCUCAGAGCCCCAGCCAGUCCUGGAUGCGGGGCUGUUACACAAGUUUCACUUGGUGCUUUCUUCACUUUUAAGGGGAUCGGGUGCUUCUCCAUUUGUAACCAGGGUGGGCUUUGGCGACUACGGGGCUCCGGUGAUUGUCUUUUACUCAUUCACUCAAUAAACAUCUAUCGAGCGUCUCCGUUGGGUCAGUGUUGAUGGAUUUCACGACUCCCUUCUCUGGCCUUGUUAAAAAUCACCCAGAGAAUCGGCUACAGGCAGGCGGCUUUCUGGUUACUUUUUGUCAAUUUUCAGAGUCAGUGCACGACUUCCGCCUCUAAAUGAUGGGCAGCUAGAGA
RNAcentral lists this long non-coding RNA (55750 nucleotides) under Lynx pardinus (Iberian lynx). Lineage: Eukaryota; Metazoa; Chordata; Mammalia; Carnivora; Felidae. The record is from RNAcentral.